UUUCGUAUUUUUUUUUCCUCAGAUUCCUUUAUGAAAUGUUUGACUUCUUGAAAUCUGUUGGCCACAUAUAUAGAGUUAUUAACAUAACAGAACAGGGUGCUGAUGUUGGUAUUGAUCAUGCUGAUCUUUAUGUUGUUAGCUACAUCAGUAGUAGUAGGUCAGGUGGUGGUGGCUCACGUGGACACGUAACUUUCGUAGUAGUGGAGGUGGAGGUAGCCUCCGUGGUGGUACUGGUAAUGGAGUUAGCAGUCGUGGCAGCCCUGGCGAUGGUAGUGUCCGGGGUGGUACUGGUAGUGGAGUUAGCAUUCGUGGCAAUAGUGGCGGAGGUAGCAUCCAGGGUGGUACUGGUAGGGGAGUUAGCAUUUAAGGCAGCACUAGCGUAGGUAGUGUCCAAGGUGGUACAAGUAGUGGAGGUGGUCGUGGCAGUGGUGCUGUUAGCAAUGCUAAAGGAAGCUCUCGUGGUGAAGUUAAUGGUACUAAAGGUAGCUCUAGUGGUGGUAUUAAAUAAAGGUAGCUCUAAUGGUGGCAGUAAAAGUUAUAAAGAUCGCUCCCGUGGUGGUACUAAAGCCAAAGGUAGCUCUAAUCGUGGGGGUAAAAGUUAUAGAGGCUACUCUCGUGCAGAUCGGUGGUGCAGGUUUUCAUUCAUCGUCCAAUGCCUACAGCCUGUCCACCGCAACUCUUACAGCUAUGACAACCUCCAUGGCAACUUUAAUUAUCCUUGCUUUUGUUUAAUGCACAUGAAGUUACAGAAAUAUACAUGUAUUUAUAGUAGUAGGAGAAAAGGUUGAAAGCAUUGUGUACUUGAUCAAGCAAGUCAAUGAAAAUUUAUCAAAGUAUGGUAGCAUUGUGUUCAAUCAAGUAUCUUGUUAUGAUUAUUUUCACACUGUUAAAUCUUGCUAUUUUCUGUUCUUUUCUCGACAAUCUACUUUGUUCGGAAUAAUUAAAAAUGGCACAGAGCAUGAUAUACGUUCUGAUAAACACCUAACGACCUCUGUAAUAACGAAAAAAAUAUGUACAUCCAUCUAUCAGUGCAUGACAAUUAUUUUCCAGAUUUACAUAUUUUCUUGUUACGACAUGGUAGAUAUAUAUACUGUUUGAGAAGUACUAUUAGCUUUUAUGCGCAUAUCAUCAUAUGUCUAGCGAAUGUGAUUGGCGCAACAUGAACUGUGACUUGUAAGUUGUUGUAAACCCUCAAAUCCCCAGGAUAUUAAAACAAUUAGACCCCCAGCGGAUUAGUUCCCUGUGUACAGAUUCGUGUGCUAGCUAUUCAAAGAGUUCAUUCCAGGAAUAUUGGAGUUACAACAAACUACAAACUACUGUAUGUGACGGAGUGUCCUACUGUGAUCAACACAGUGGAAAUAGCAGCAGGGGGGAAAAAGGGGUAGGACAGCAUGUCGGUGGAGACUGAUUCGAAUGCAGCAGUUAGCAUUGCAUUUACUAAUGGCAAAUGACAGUGGUAUUUAGAUCCAAGAUUAGGAGAAAUGUUCAUCGCGUGCAAAAGAAAAAUCUCUACACCUCGUCCGUAAUCUUAAAAACUUUGUACAAAUUCUUUUGAAUUCAAUUUUUUCUUACCAUCUCAUAUAGCUCUUACAGAACUUAAUUUGUUUUACUUAUUCCAAGAAACCGGCAAAGAUAAAAGAUAAAUUAUUACAGAAGUUUCAUAUCUGAUAGUAUUGUUGCGACACAUAUAUACUCAACAUGGAGUGAGAAAGAUGGAAAGAGUAGAACCUGAAAUCACUUCUUCGGCCGUCAGCAGUCAAGUUCUUAGUAUUUGUGGAAGAUGCCCUGCUUUCCAACAAUGCUUCUCCAGUUGUUCAACAAAAUCGUUAUGCAUAUCUUCGUGCUCUACCUCUUCGAGGGUUGUAAGGUGCUCAAGUCCUAACGGAACUUCCUUUAACUUUUCACAAAAAAAGAAUCUGAUCCAUUUAAUGAUAGGCAUUGCUCCCUCUUCAGCUAUUAUCUUACUCAAAGAACCCAAGUCGCCCAAAUUAAGCUUUUUGAGUCUGGGAAACCCUGCCUUGGAAAAGGUUAACUCUUCGCAACAAAUAGCCCAAUUUCCAAGUGUCAGUGUCACUAAAUUGGGUAAUGAUUGAAGUACUUUGAUCGGGUCUUUCCUCAAUUCGGAACCUGAAAGUUGUAAUUCUUCAAGGUUUUGAAGUGAGGGAAUCCAACUGGGAAGUUCAUGAAGAAUUCCGGCCAUGCACAAACAUUUAAGAUACUCUGGAGGAGAGCUUAGACUAUUUGAAUGUAGAAAGUUUUGGGAUUUAGAAGAUACUUUCAAGGAGCGUAGGUACUUCAUGUUCUGAACGGAGGUAAACAAUUGCAUCCCAUCCUCUUUUUUCAAGUUACAUAUGGCUAGUUUCCUCAACUGGGUCAGUUUUCCUAGCUCUUCAACUAAUAAACCACUUUUCUCUGUAUCUGCAUCAACCACAGCAAGCUUUUCAAGAUUGAUGAAGUUAUCGAUCCCCACUGGCAAUUUAACCCCUGGAUAAUGAGUAUAAAACUUUUCAAUGAGGAGAUGACGCAGACGUCUUAGCUUGAGAAUUCCAACUGGCAACUCCCGCAGUUUGGUAUAUUCUAGGUCUAAUGUCUCAAGAUAUACAAGGUCUCCUACCAAAUUAGGAAGAGAAGUUAUACGAGCAUUUCGCCUUAGACUUAGAUACCUUAGAUACAGUAGACUUACAAUUUGACCUGGGAACUCCUCCAGGCCAGCAUCUUGUAGGUCUAGGACCCUCAAAAGUCUAAAACUUGAAAAAAUGGCAGUGCUAGAAGAGCGAGCGAGCCAGGAUCCCGUAUAAGGCAUAAAAAGGAAGAGGGAUCGGAGAUGAAAACCCGAAGUAUUGUCUUUAGACAAUAUAUUUGCACCAGUAUCUUCGUGUCUCAAGCAAGAGAUAGACAUAAGCCGUGGUGGUCGUCGUCCUAUACUAGGAUCACUCGACAAAAAGUGUAAUUCUUCUUGCUUUUCAGCAAUGACUGUUGCUAAGUUCUGAUCACGGGCUUUCCCAAUUAUAAACUCACGCAUGAGGUCAUGAAUCCUACAUUUCUUGACCCUUUUACGUUCAUCCAUAUAUUCUACCUGCACCAAGUUUCUUUGAAUUAGCUCAUCAAGGUAGAAUCUAGCAAUUUCUUCCAUUGUAAAUCCCAUUCCCACCGCCUUUCUCUCCACAAAUCCUUCUGCGACCCAAAGUCGAAGAAGUUUCGAACUACUAAUAGAGUAAUCCUCAGGGAAGAUGCACAAAUAUAAGAAACAAGCCUUGAGGUAAUAAGGCAAGUCGUUAUAACUAAGUGAUAUCACCCAACGCAAAUCUGCAAGAUGGGACUGAUCACCACUCGAGCUAUCCAUGAGUGAGCCAAGAUUUUUAUAUACUUGAUCCCAUUCGCUAGUUUGCUUCAUGGAGAGCAAACCACCAAUGGCAACGAUAGCAAGGGGCAAUCCAUUGCACUUCUUCAGAAAUUUCAUGGAUAGAUUCCUCAACACUUGUUCAGUACAGAAAUUCAUGUUUUCUACAUUUGUUUUGAAUGCUUUCUUGUAGAACAGCUUCCAUGAGUCUUCAAGAUCAAGUGGUUGGAGAGGGUACGAAUGACCGUAGUCCUCAAGGCAGGUUUCAGCUAUGUUUUUGGAACGUGUUGUGACUAUUAUCCUACUAGCACUUUCUUCAUCAUUAGGAAAUGAAUUUUUCAAGCUUGUCCAUGCAUUUAAGCUCCAUAUAUCAUCUAAGACAACCACGUACCUCUUUCUUCGCAAGUUAGCAUUAAGGGCUUGUUUCAGCUUCAUAGGCUCCAUUGUGUCUACCGCUUGAAAUUCCGGGAAGAGUUGUUUGGUCAAGUCCCGUAACAGAGCUGUGGCUUUAAAUGUUUGUGACACGGUAAUCCAAGCACGAUAUGGGAAGUGUUCUUUCACCUGAGGGCUGUCAAACACCUUCUUGACGAUGGUGGUCUUGCCAAGACCGCCCUCUCCGAAAACUGAAACCACGCCUAGUCUUGUAUCUGCCUCUAAGAGGUAGCCAACUAACUUCUCUUUAGCACCAUCAAUACCAACUAGUUGAAAUUCUUCUAGGAAGAGGGCAUUUUCCCGAGGAUCAUGCUUUGUGGUUGAUUUCAUUUUAGAAGAAGUUGACCCUUGUUCCACCAAGUUCCUGAGAUUAUACCUAUCUCGGCAGCUGGAUAUCUCUUGGGUUCUUGCUUUGAUAUCUUUAAUCUGACUGCCAAUCUCAUGGCCUACCUUCAAACAAUGGAAGAAGUCGGCAAUUCUCUGGAAGAUACCUUUAAUGGAUCGGAUAGGGGUAGUUCCAUGUCUUCCAGCAGCAUGAUCAGGGUCAUCGGCAUGUUUCUUGUGAUGACUAAGAAAAAAUUCAUCCAAGACAUCUUCGAUCUCAUAAGCUAUAUCUCGUACUUGCUCCACCCAAUCUUUCACACCUUGGUCAAUAUCUACCUUUGCAUCGGCAUCUCUUAACAAAGCUUUGAUGGUUCGGAAUUCCAAUUUCAUUUGUUCAAUAUCAGUACGAACACCUUUGAGCAUGUCUACUUCUUGCUUUGCCAUUGCCACGAGUUUUUCCAGUAAAAAGCUUACAACACUCUCAGCCAUUGCUACUGAUCUCCUCUCACUUUUUUUUUCCUGUAAAUUACAGUAUAUGUUUAGCUUGUGUCCAAGCUUGUGUCUUAAAGCAUUUUGAUGAAAGAAAUUCAUAAUUUAAUUAAUAAUUAAAAACCAAUUUAGAUGUUAAAGACUAGGAAAGUUCAUAUGAAACAAUAGGUAAGUUACAUUACAUUACAAUAUUAAUUAUAAUAAUUACAGAAGCCUAUCAACCAACUAGGUGAGCUUAGAUAAUAUUUAAUAGCAUGUUAGAAAUAUAAAAUCAGACAUGAUUAUAAUCAAUAUUUUUAUAUUAAUCCAUUUUGCAGUUUCCUUGUUUUUUAAGCCAAGACCAAAUAUAAGGCUAAAAACUCUCUUAAAAUAUAUCAACUUUGGGCCGACUUCGUCUUUUUUCUAUGUUAAUUGGGGUAAUAAACUUUAUUUGUAAUAAUCGAUCAAACAGAUCCAAAGCCAUAAUCCUGCAUCCUCUCUCCCAUCAGCUGCAGUGAAGAAUGCAAUCUAAGAGCAAUCGCCGUUAGAGUUCAUCAAACACCCCCCCAUCUACUUGUUCCUCAGCUAGUCACAUUGGCUUUAGUGAGUUGUGUUAGCACAUCACUAAAACUUUUUGAGGUGUACUUUGAGUGAAAAGAUUGUAAGAACUUAUGCAAUGGUAGGAGGUGUAGCACAUAAAGUACCCUUUACAAGCCCUGACAUUGUUGCGAGCAUUUCUAGCUGGAUCUCCAUUGCCAAGCAAGCAAGUAGCAUUAAUAGCAUGUACUCAUUCUGUCAAAGUGUCAAUUAUAUAUCUCUGAACACUAAUCCUGCAAUACAAACGAAGCAGGAUGUCAGGUUUUUUUUUUAAUCCCACAUGGCCACAUUGUUAAAGUAUGACGAAUUAGGUGAGUUUAUAAGCAAUCUACUGCCCAAGGACGUGUAGGGUAAUCCAAAAAGGAUGUAUCGUACAUCCUUUUUGGGUUGCAUUGAACCCAAAAGGAUUUCCAGGUUCAAAUAGUGACUCGAGUUCGUCACUGGUGUUUGGAUUGUUUUCAACUCUUUCUUCACCUUCAGGCCUUCCUGUUUUUGGAGUGACCCCCAAAAAAGAAACAAUAUAAUAACAAAAUACUAAGUAUGUUGUAACUGAGAUGACCUUAAAAAUGAAAUAGAGAAAUUGGUAAUGAUAUCACUUGCCUCCUCUACAUAUUCUGUCAUGGUUGAGCUCACAGUUUCAUGUAUAAUAAACUUGAUGAGACGAGCUUCACCAAUUGUCCUUAUAAGGAAGUCCUUCGGAACCUGCAAAAGUUUCUAGUCAUCCAUUACAGCCAGAAACAAAGGAAGAACCAAAUUAACAGAUAUAGACAGAAUAUACUCAAGCCUGUGAUCGGAUCCCAUUUGUUUAUAAGCAGAAAUGAUUUCUCUUUGUAAGAAAUAAAUCAAAUCGUAAAACAAACAUAUUUUUUUUUCCUCGGUAAGAAACGAAUGUAUUGAAUGAAGCAAAAAUGAAAAAUACAAAGACCAAACUCAUGACUAUGUUAACAAGAGGUUCCCCAGCAAGCUGGCUGCCCCUGUAACACGCCAUGGUUUGGUUAAGAGGGAUUACAUCUUACGUAAAAGGAAUGGGGGUCCUCCAACUCAUAAAGGAAUGGAGGCCAACCAACAUAUAAAACUCUCGCAUCUGGUUCCAACUGCGCUGCAAAAUUUGCUAAGGCAUCUGCUGCGAAGUUAACCUCACGCCAUGUAGAUAAGACCACCACAUGCUGCAUUCUGCCAAUUACAUUAUCCCACCUCGCUUGCAUACACCAAGGCAGAUCCCUUUUUCCAAAAGCAUGAAACAGCAGCCAUUGAGUCAGAUUCGACCCACAAGAUUAACCACCCUUGCUCCAUUGCCCACUCAACUCCACUUAAAAUGGCUUCGCAUUCAGCUAAAUAGUUCGUAGCCUGAUGCAGACCUAUACACAUUGCACCAAGGAUGUUGCCAUUGGCAUCCCUGAAGAUAGCCCCUGAACCAGCCUUCCCUGGAUUAAAAUAACUUUUAGAAUAAGAAAAGCCUUACAUUUUCUGUGAACUUAAAAUUGUAUAUGCAUACUUAAUUAAUUUCUUGUAUAACCACCACAUGUAACUAUUCUACAAUUGUGUAAUAGCAACAAGGAAUCAAAGUCCUUAUGUAAUAAGGAAUUCGGGUUCUAUUAGAAAACAAUAUAUAUGUGUUAAAAGGGUUUUGGCUGGUAUGAGGCUGAGCCUAACUAAACCUGUUUGGGUGUAAAAUAGUGACAUGUGGCGGUUACCAAAUUUCUACAACGACACCCCAUAUAUAUAACCACACAUAUUGGCUUUGCUAACUACGCUACAUAUCUUCUUCAACUUCUGAAAGCCCUGCUUACUAUGACGAAAAAAUACAUUAUUACUACCCACUAUUUUAUCCAAUUCAUCGUGACUCUUGAAGAAGCUUCAACAAGAUCCAAAUAAAGACUAAGCCCCUAGGAAUAGGCAGAUAAUACAGAUGCAUUUCCAAUUCAUAUGCUGAUAUCUAUACACAUUUUCAUCCAAAAGUCAUGGAUCCUCAGAAUUAAUCAGGAACCGAUUUGCUCUUCUAAGUGGCCUACUCAUAUGACCAGAAUAAUGGCAAAAAUAUAUUCAAGGAAACAACUCUGAAAUCAUACUAUAAAGCUGAUUAAUUCUGUAACCCUCAGGAUCAUCACAGCUCACUGAUUAAAGCAAAAAAGAUGCUUUAUAGUAUAUCUCUAACCCAAGUUAAGAUAUUCUUACUUUCCACACCAAAAAAAGAAGACUUAAUAGUAAUAAUACACAAAUACCAAAUACGAGCAUGAUAAGAAAACCAAAAUUAAUGACAACCGUUAAUUUUCUUGAAACAACAUGAUAAUCAACACAACUUUGACUGAAAAUAUUGCCUUUGCACUAAGCCUUCCGCGGAAAGUUAAGAAGCAUAUUUAUACGUUCCUGAUUUGGUCCACCAGGUACAUGCAAAUUCAACAACUUAGACAUAGUUUCUGCGCUUGGAGAAAAACCUUUCUCGAUCAUGGUGUUUACAAAAUGCAUUGCCUUAUCGUCAUCAUUUCCAUGAACAAGGAAUCCUUGAGCAAGAAAAUUGAAUGUGAAAUCAUCUGGAACCAAACUCUUCUCUUCCAUCUCGUGAAACAACUCUUGAGCUUCAUCUAGCAACCCUUCCUUACAAUAUGCUCGGAUCAUGAUGUUAUAUGUUCUCGUGUCAGGAUGCAACUCUUUGGCCGAAAGAUUGUCAAAGAGUUCCUUUGCCUCAAAUAGUUGCCCUGUUUUGCAUAUACCAUCGAGGAUUAUGUUGUAAACAAUAAUAUUUGGCUUCAAGCCACUCUUCUUCAAAACAUUGUACAAUUCUAGCGCUUCUGUAAAACGAUCGUUAUUGCAUAACCCAUCCAUCAACGUAAUAUAAGUGAUCAGACUUGGGAUUUCCCGACGAGCUAGCAUUUCGUUAAAAAGAUCUUUUGCUUCUGACACUUUUAGAACUUUGCAAAAUCCACCUAUAAGGGUAGUGUAGGUAAUAGUGUCAGGUGUUAAUCCCUUGCAUCGCAUAUCAUUAAAAAUAUGGACCGCGUCAUCCAUUCUCCUAGCCUUGCAAUAGCCAUUGAUCAAAAUGUUAUAGCUAUAUGUGUUUGGUUCAUGACCUGUAGCAAUUAUUGAAUCGAAAAUUCGUUUGGCCUCUUUCAUUUGCCCUUGCAAACAAUAUCCAUCCAUCAUACUGUUGUAUGUGAUUAUGUUGGGUUCCUUGCCUUUUUCUGUCAUAAUCUUGAAUAUUUGAAGUGCUUCAUCCAUCUUACCUUCUUUACACUUAUAAUCAAUCAAAAUACUAUAUGUUUGCACAUUAGGUGAAAUUCCAUGACUUACCAUUUCACCAAACAAUUUUGUCGCUUCAUUCCAUUGACCCAAAACACAUAGGCCAUGAAUCAAGGACGUGUAUAUGACAACAUCAGGUUUGACACUAGUUUGUGACAUCAUCUCUACUAUCUGGAAUGCUUCCUUGAUCCUCCCUUGUUUGGUAAGAAAAUCAACCAGAAUGCUACAUGUUGUUACAUCUGGUUUGAUAUUCUGACUCAACAUUUUUCUGAAUAAACUCAUGGCUUCCUUGUGUCGACCAAAUCUGCAUAGGCCAUGAAUCAAAGAGGUGUAUGUAACAACAUUUGGUUCAAUGCUUUUGGUAUCCAUAUCUCGGAAAAGAUGGAAAGCCUCAUUCACUUGAUUUUCCUUAAAAAGACCAUCAAUAAUCAUAUUAUACAAAUUGACAUUAGACCUAAUGUUACUCGUUUCCAUCUUCCUCAUUAACCUGAGAGCAGCACUAGAAUUCUCUGAUUUACAGAGCGCGUCAAUGACGACCCCAUAAGUGACUACAUCAAAAGGGUAGGCAUACUCCAACAUUUUGUUGAACAAAUCCAUAACCUGCUUAACAUCAUCACCCUUCUUAGAAUUAGAAAGGCCCUUAAGUAGAGUGUUGAAAGUAAUAUCAUUUGGUUCCAACCCACGUUUGAAAAUAUUAGCCAAAACAGCAAAACCCAAAUCGACACGACCCACAUAACAGUAACAGUUAAUGAGGAUACUAAGAGUAACAAUAUUUAAUUGAAUUCCAGCUAAAAGCAUUAAUUUAGACAAAUAAAUAACCCAAUGAUAAUGUUUCAACUUAACAAGCGCACCUAACAAUUGAGUAAAAGGGUGAAUAGAAGGCAAAGGUCGAAUUUGAAAUAAUCUAUCAAACAAACCUAAAGCCUCAUCAAGCCCAAGAUCCCCAGAUUUGCAACGAUUUCGUACAAAAGAAUCGAAACAAAUUGGGUUCAUGUUGUUGUUGUUAGCAAUGGAAGAAGAAAUUGUUAAAUGUUGUUGUUGUUCUUGUUCUUGUGUUGUUGUAGUACAAGUGGUUUUGGUGUUUGCAAGAAUUAAUGAGAAAGAAGAAGUAGAAGAUUGAAUAACAUUUUUUCUCACCUUUACAGCAGUAACAAGAAGAUCACUAAUAAUAAUACUAGUCAUUCUUCUUCUUCUUCUCAACAUCAUCACCAUCACCAUUUUUCCUUCCACGAGACUGGUGUGAAGUUCGUUCGUUCGUUCGUUCGUUCGUUUGUUCAUUCCGUUGGGCUUUUUUCUAGUGAAUCAGAAUUGGGCCUUCUAUUACUAAAUUGACCAAGCCCAAAUCAAUUACUCUCUCGCUACAAAAUAAGACACCCCUUCGUCUUCUUCCAACACUCCUCAUCAAUCAUCAUCUUCUCCAAAAUAGCUGAAAGAGAAAAACUGUAUAAGAGGACAGAGAUGGAAUUUACAAAAGAACCGAUGGAUAAAAAGGUAAAUUGGAGCUGGACAUCAGCAGUAAUCGGUGCAGCAUCAGCAACAGCAACGGCUGUGAUUAUCUUAGGAAGACCAAAAGAUCCAACUUUUCAUCUCACUUCAAUAAGUCUUACAUCUCUUAAACUCAAUCUUCCACUUCUUGAUGCAGAACUCAUCUUAACCGUACACGUCACCAAUCCAAACAUUGUUCCUAUCAAUUACUCUGCUACUCAAAUGUCUAUCUUUUAUGAUGGCUCACUUCUUGGCUCAGCUCAUGUUGAAGCAGGUUCUCAACCGGCUAGAUCUUGUCAGUUGAUUAAGUUGAAUGGACGGCUUGAUGGUAUUGAAUUAGCUCAUCAUGCUAAGAAGUUUUUAGCUGACGUGGCGAAAAGAGAAAUGGUGCUUGAUGCAGCUGUAGAUAUUGAAGGUACGGCUAAGGUUCUUUUGUGGAGUCAUGCUUUUAAAGUACACGUGGAUAGUCAUAUUGUCGUUGAUCCUGUCUUUCUUGAUAUCAUCCAACAGGAAAAUAAGUCUGCACUUGAACUCUUUGUUGCUACUUAAUAAUAACGUUGUGAUUUAGGUUUUAUUCAUUUUCUUUUGUUGUCAAAUGUAUGGUUUACAACUUAGAAGUCAGUUUAAUUGUAAAACAAUUUGAUUGAAUGGCAUUUCACAUGGAACAAAAACUGCACUUUGAUCAACUUUUUAAGUAUAAUGAUCUUCAAUAAGAAGAAGAAUAUCAAAUUCUCUGCAAUACAUAUGAGAUAAUAAUAUAAUGAACAAUUUAUUGCUCACAAGAAAGAAAUAGAGCGAGCUGCUCCAACAAGGAUUUUCUUCAAUAUACAACAUACACCCACCUCCCGCCAUUGCCAUUGCCAUUGCCACUGCCACCCCCUGAUGGAGAUUUAUAUACUCCAACAAUAUAGCCUACGGAAUAAAUUGAUCCCCACUCAUUCUUCUUUCAACUUAGAUAAUAACAUCAUACACCAAUAACAAAUUACACGUACAAUCUGAAAAUCAGCAUUACUGAGGCAUAGCUAUUAUCAGUUUAGCUGAAGUAGAGGUGAGCGUGGUAUAAGAGAUGGCUUUAUUUCCUUCACGUUUGAUGCUUCGUAUGGAUGGUUUUCUCGGAACUCUUCAAGUAAAGAGUCCAAAGGCAUUGUCCGCAGUGAUUCAAUAGUCCCCUUGCUUGGAACAUCUACAUCAGACCGUGUGGGUGUUGUUCCACUUGGUUCAUAAUCCUGCAUAGUUGUGCAAUUUAAUGUCAGUAGGAUUUUUUUCAUUAAUCAAUCAGUAAUUCAGUAUGUAUGUAGGACACCUACAGAAAAAUGAGCUUUAACAGUACACCAUAUUCACUACAUCGCAUUUCAGUCUCAGGCACUCAUCCAUACCAAAGUAACUACCGUGUCUAUUUGUAGCUAGAUACUACAGUCAGUGAUAUAGCUUAAGUCUUUUUAUGACAAUCAAUAUUGCUUUUCCAUAAAAUAUCAAAACAAUAUUAAAAAUAAUAAUUACUUUCUUCUUCUCGAGUAGGAAAAGUGGAUAAGUAAACUUACCAUGUAUCUAUCCUGGAAGGUACUCUGUGCCUGCUGCUCAAUUUCCAUUGCCCCACCUGAGUGAUCAUCUCGCAAUUUCUGAAGGGUACUUGUUUGAGCCUCAACAACACCCAUAAUGCUAGAUAUUGAUUCUCGUUCCUGCUGCGAGACGUCUGAAAAGAAAUUUGAAAGAACUCACCAAGUUACAUACUUGCAACAACAAUCAACCACAUCAUACACUGGAAAAAUGAAACUAUAUCAAUUCAUCUAUGUAAUUACAGGCACUGGCUAGGUGCUGGAGGUGAGCCUAGGUACACGCGAGCGUAGGCAACAUCAGGUACCAGGGGAAACCAGACCCAAGCCUAUGUGCCCCAAGGCGCCAGGCAUAUUCAAUGAGCCACGAGUCUAGGCACGCUUUUGACUCCAAAUCAUUUCGUGUAUGCCACUUAACAUGGUAAAGUGUGCACUCAGUACUUAUAAAGAACAAGGUCAUCAAUCGACACUGCAGAAUAUCACUUCUCGGAUCCUUAUAACCAUAACAAAAUGAGGAUGAAAUCCCUAUAUUCUAAAUUAUUUGGAGAAAAAAACUCGGAUCCUUAUAACCAUAACAAAAAGAGGAUGAAAAUCCCUAUAUUCUAAAUUAUUUGGAGAGAAAAAAAUAUAGUGCGACUCACUCUCAAAAUGAUGAAGGAUAUCUUCAUUGUUUUUGGCAACAUCUUCCUCUGCCGCAGUCCUUGUGGAAACAAUCUCCAAAUCAUGAAGUUCGUUACUCUCGCACACAUUUCUGCACCACAAAUGACACAAAACUGAUGAUGGCACUGAUACAUAAUCAUAAUGAACAAUACUGUCAGUAAUGAUACAUGUGUUUGGAAUAAAUGGUGUGAGAGCCGGGGGAGGGAGGUGACUACAGUUCCAUGUUUGCUUGCUGUAUGAAUAUGAGUAAAACAUACACAUUAUCGUCUACAGUCUACACUAUGUUUUACUCAGAGUCCAUCAUCUAUCAAAGAAGUGGACAGCUAAAGUGAAGUGCAAUCAGCCACUGACCAGACUAGCAGAAAACAGUUACAUUUGAAUCAUUGUUCACCCUGUAAAAACUUGCAGACAAAAACUCCAGUAGAUUCUAAUUGAAGUCUUUAAUCUAACCAGCAAGAAGAUGACAGCUAAUAGCAAGAAACUGACCUGGCAUGCAACCCAAUGGCCGAAGCGUGCUCACUGCUCAUGUCAUUCACUGAUUCAUGAGUUUUCUGCCAGUGCUCAGAAGCAGUAUCAACAGUAGUUACACUGAAAGAAACCAAAAUGAUAAUUAUAAGAGGAUUAGCAUGUAAAAGAAUAUUUAGAGAAUGCAAAGUGUACAGAAUAGGAUAUACGCAACUGUAAGUUUGACUGACAAGACUCACCAUUUCUGAAGAAAUACCUCCAUCCGACAAUGUUUAGCAGCAGAAUAGUCAGCACUGUCUCUGGCACUAUUCUCUGCAUGACUGGAAAAUUCCUGCCAUUUUCUUUUUGCGUCAGAGGUGAUACCUCCCAUCAAUGAUGUAUGCUCAUCCAAAAUUGCCUUGUUUUCAGAUGCAGUGUCUUUCAAACCAUUAAGUUUCAGAUCAACCUGCAGAAAUGAUAAUGGCCAAUCACAAAAUAUAAUCAGAAAGAAAAAUAAAAGAAAGUAACAACCAUGGACAAUACAAAAGCAUACCAGUUCCUUUUGACGAUUGAAGUGAACAGAGACCAAAUUAAAUAAAUCAGCACAUAGCUUUUCUGAUUCGGAUUUUGUGAGUUCCUGCAACCCUUGAUAAUAAGUUCUCAAAGAGAUCAAAAUAAGAACCAACAAUUCGAAACUACAAAUCCAAAAAUAAUACCUCAUAAGACUUCUGAAAUUCAGCAAUGUUUUUCUGUUGCACAUUAUGAACUCGACUUGUUUGUGUUUGAAGCCGGUGUGAUUCUUCCCCAAGCUUAUUAAGAAGGUCAUUAAUAUAGUUGGAGGUCUCCUUUGUGUGUUCCACGCUGACAUUGAAUUUCUGGGAACCAUAUAACAGAGGACCAUAAGAAGUAAAAACAACAGUAUUAAAAAGAAAAAGUAAUAUUCUGCUCAUCCAUUUGUUUUGGAGUGGCACCACACCAUAACCAAAAAAAUGAAUAGAUCAAAUUUAUGGUGGAGCAAGGAGAAAGGUGUAUGAAAAAUAUGUAUAUUAGAUCAUAUAGCUAGAAGAAGAAAAAAAAACAGCUCAAAAGUGAAGCCGAUGCCUUCAACCAGAAUGUUCUUUUAUUACGAAAAUAAAACCUUGCAAAUUUAGUGGCAUAUAAAUAAGGAAAAAAAUGAAAUAUGAUGGGAACAGAAAGGAAUAAAAAAAAACACCUCCCGCAGCUCCCUUGCAAAAAGGGCCAUCUCUCCCUGCUGGCUUGAUAACGUGGCUUGGAGAUCAGCAAAUACUGAACUUGCUUCUCCAUCCAUGGUUGCCAGAUGCUUUGACAAAAAAAAAAGAACAGGAAUUAAGCAUUAAGAAGAUAGCAAGUUGGACAAAUUAAUAGACUAAUGAACUGGAAGAGCUGAAACUAGACAUUUGGCCACUUACUAGUUUUACCGCUGAAGCAUUAGCGAGUGCCAAAGAUGAAAUCUCGUCUAGACCUGCAUUAUUGCUUGCUUUAUGCAAGCGCACAACAUUUUGCAUCGCUUCCAUGUGAGAAGUAAAUAACGCCCUUGAAGCAGCCAUUUUCUUCUUUAAAUCAGAUACCAACUAGGAUCGAGAAGAAGAAAAUUACUAAGUCAAAUGCUACAAAUCUCAUAUCAAAAAUGUCUGUUUAAGAUAGUGAAGUACCUUCUCAUGGAUUUCAAGAAAAGAAUGGCAGAGCUUUUCAACACACUCGAGGUGCCCGUGUUGUUGAGACAUUGACGUAGCCACAGUGGUGCAAAGAGUUCCAAUUUUCUGUGUGAGAGAGGCCUGGAAAUCAUCAACCACUGACCGGUUUUCGGAAUUCAGUUUAUCUUCUCUAGCUGCAAAGUAUCAAGAACAAACACGAAGGAUCUGAGAAUAUACUAAGAUUCAUGGAAUGUAACAGUGAGGAUCAGUUUUGCAAGUAACAAAGAGAAGUAGGUUACCUAAUUUUGAAAAUAAUGAAGCAUUAUCCUUGUGAGAUUUUUCCAAGUCUGAUCGCAGAACACAUGCCUGAUGAGCCAAUGCGUUUUCUGUACUCACAAAUUCAGAUGAGUGAAGAGCUGAGAAUAAGCCCUCUAGAAACAAUGACAACAGAAUAGAAACGAGGAAAUACAUACAGACCUGCUUUCCUCAGUUCAGAAAUAAUAAAGUCUUUCUCCUUGACAGUAUACUGGGAUUUCCUCAAUUGCUCUUCCACCUUGGCAAGUAAUUUGCUGGUUUGCUCCAAACGGAUCUACAAGUAACAAAAAUAUAUUAAACUCUUUCAAUAUGCAUAUCAACAUUUGUUUUGCAAGUGUACCACACUACCACUAGAUCAUAAAAAGCAAACUAAUUACCUCUGUGUCAUCAAGUUUGCAGCUCAAAUCCGAGGACUCUAGGACCUGAGCAUCAUACUUUUCUUGCAAUUCCUCAAUUUGCUAAAGCAAAGAAAGUAAGGUUAGGGAAAUGAAUGUGUACAAAGGUAUUUAUUAAAUACAAAACAAGAUUUGACUCACUCUCUGGUUUGAUUCAAGUGUCACACUCAUCUGUUCAAUCUGAUCUGCCAUUGCCUUAACCCAAAUAAAAAGCAUCAUCAGCAAGCAGCAUAUUAAAGAGAUAUAUAACACCAUUCAGAUUAUGCUGAAAAAAAAACUUACUCUCUGCACUCGUAACUAAAAUGAAGAAUUUGCCAUGAUAUGCGAGUCUGAUCUUUUAGUCAAUUUUACAAAGGACAUUUUGUUUUAAUUUAUUAAACAUUAUGGCUGAGAACUGAAAAUAUUAAUUUGAUGAAAAUGAGCAGUGCUCAAUUAAUAAACUUUUGUGCUAAACCUUCCUUAACCAAAAACUUAGAUUGCUUGAGUUACAAGGUUCACUUGUCCAGUUUGGAAAGAAAACAAUACAAAGAAAGCUAAAUUUAAGGAAUAAAUCUAAGCAGAGUGGCAAUCACUAACACCAAUUCCAUAGCUAGAAAGAGAAUUUUUUUAUCAUAAUUAGUUACGGAAUGUCUUUCGAAUUGGCAAAACCAUAAAAAAAUAAAACUAUUAAUAUAUAUAUACUCAAAAAGUCAGCAUAAUCCCUGAAUGUACUAAUCAGUAUAUUGGAUUUAUUUCCAUAUUAUCAUACAGAUAGUUGCAUUAAUCAUACAUGAUGGUAAGCAAAAAGCUGAAAGCUCAUUCCUAAUAUGCUACAACAAACAAGUUCUAUCCAACACAAUGUGUAUGAUAUCCUAGCAGAUCAAUCACAAUAAACAGUCUCAGGAAGCUGAACCGGCACCACAUGCAAACCAUGGAGGCAUGGACAGUUGAAAUAUAAAAGGAAACACCUUUCUUUCACUCUCUUCUUCAAAAUGAUUCCUUAGCUAGAAAGAGAUUGUUUAUCUUUAUUUUUUGUUAAUAACAUGUCUUUCAAAUUUGCAAACAAUAAAAUGAGAACAACCACUGAAUGUACCAAUGCAGUAAGUAUAUUGUAUAUACAAUAUUAUCAGACAUAUAGCUGCAUUAAUCAUAUAUGAUGGUAAGUAACAAACAAAAUGCUCCUUGCUAAUAUGCAACACAAACAAAGUGCUCUCCAACAUGAUGUGUGUAUAUAUACUAGAAGACCAAUCACAAUUUGCAAACAGUCUCAAGAAGCAGAACCAACCCCACAUCCAAACCAUGGAACAUUGAAAUGUGAAAGGCAAUACCUUUCUUUCACUCUCUUCUUGAUAGUAACGUUCCUUUGGAAUAUAGACCCCACUUUUCUCUCUUGCAGCAUAGACCUCUUCAAAAAGUAAGCAGUACAGUUUAGUACCUCAACAGGGUAAUCAUGUAAAAUCUUAAGGGACCAAGAGAAGAAGUAAAUAACCUGCUUUAAGACGAUCAAUUUCUCCAUACAAGUCUUUAAUAAGUGUGGAUUUCAUCAUCUUUUGGUUUACCUAAAACACCACAUCAAGAGAAAUUAAUAAUGAUGUUAAUAAUAUAGCAUCAUGAAGUAGUCACAGGAACAUUGUAAUAACAUCCACCUAAAAGUGAACUUAAUUAUGAUACUUAAUUCUUAAUUAGAUAUAACCAAACAAAUGGGAAGAUUGCGAUGGAGUUAAAAAUAUGUCACAAAAAGUUCUCCAAAUGAAAGGUAACGAGAAAGAGAAAAAUGUGGAUAAAUGUAUGAAAGACUAUCCAUUUAACAAUAUAGCUAAAGCAGGUAAGAAUAAAAGGAGCAAACCUCAGGUUUAUUUCUUAUAUUCUUUGCUCUGUGAGCAUAAUCCAAAGUGCUCAGCGUUUCCUCAAGACAGUGAACAGCUGGUGAUACAGUGGCAAUGAUGCAUGUUUUAGUCCUUCCACCCAAGGAAUCACGAAGUAAUCGUGUAAGCUUGCUAUCCCUGCACUUCAACAUCAUCAGAACAAGAGAAACAUAGUAUUAUUGACCAAAGAUUUUAAAGUAAGAAGUCAGAAAACAGACCUGUAAGGAACAUGUCCAAGAUGUUCAACAAGAGCACUAAUAACACGUCCUAAAGUAAGUAAGCUUUUGUUAAUCUCUCCAGCUUCUCUUGCACGACCCUACAUUUAGAUAGCAAAUUGGUUUACAGCAUGACUGAAUAAACUGGUUCACAGUAAGAGUAAACCCCAUUUUAUAACUGAAUAAACUACAAGAACGUAUUUUUAGGAGUUACAAAUUGGUUUACAGCAUCACUUACAAUGUGAAAUUUACAUAUAUUACAGGCAAAAAUACCAUUGUCCUGUUACUGCUGUAACUGAAUACUCCCAAAAAAAAAUUCACUUGAAUUAACAAGUAUGAGAUAAAUAGGAGUAUGUUGUAAGAAGGGAAAAGUCAUACAGAUUCUCCUUUGUUUCUCGAUGUUGCUAUUAAUAUUUAAAAAUCACUAAACACUAAAUUCUGAGAGUUAGAAGACAUAUAUGUGAUAACCUAUCAAUAUAGCAUCCAAUGUUGCAGUGACCCAAAUUCUUUAUCUAUAGUAACUAUAUGACUCGUUAAGAGAGCGAAGAGAGUGGGCGGGUCAACAAGCCUAUACUCAAGCUCUUUAUUUAAAGCUUUGCUUCCCCUAAUUCAAAAAAAAACAUAAUAUAUUCAAUCACAACAAGAAGCCUUGUAUUAAUGUUUUGUAUUCAACAUAAAAGCAUGGAUUUUUCAACUCAGAUGCAUUCCCUGUAGAUAAUCGACCAAUUUUAAGAGGUCUCUUUAGGGUCGAGUGUUGUGGUCCAAUUUCUCAUUUGUUUUCUUCUUCCCAUUGUCUGUCUUCCCCACUCUCUCCCAACUCCUCCCCUCUUCCCUCUCUCUCGCCUACACUGAAGUCAGUCUUCACUGUUGGCGGUCUAUAUCACGCUUAAGAACAAGUAAUGUUUAUCUGUCUGUGACUUAGAUGACUCCAAUGAAAUCCAGUCACUGCCUUAAAAACUCCUUUCAGCAUUGACAUGGUGCAUAACGAUUACCAUCUGUAUGUCCAAUUUGAUAACUAUUGUAAGAUUUAUGAAGCCAAUGUAUCAACUCUUCAGGCGGAGUCAAACACCUAUAGUCGAUUACACUAGUCCUGCUCUAAUACAUUGAUGUGCAAUCAAUAUCACUGCAUGUAACUUCUUAGUGGUUCAACUUAAGCUUGAUCUUACAAAUAACAAUUAAAGUGUGACAUGAAAUAUUGAAGUAAGAUAAAAUUUUAAAAAUUUAUCCAAUAACAUAUUUGAUUAUGUAAACAAAUUUCAAACAGAUAAAUGUCUUGGUUUUCUGACACCUAGAAUCUUAAUUUACAGUUAAUUAUCUAUAGAUCUUCAAGGUGGUAGUCAUGUAGAUAUAUCCAUCUAUUGUACCAUAGUUCACCUACACAUCCAUCUUCUAUAAUUACUCAGAACAUACCAAAUGAAGUAGAUGAAAGCUGAAACUUCCAUAGACUGGAAUGCACGAUACUGAUAUAUAUAAGCUACCACCAUGAACAUAGUAUAACAUGUACCUCUCUGGCACCAGAACGUGAUAUAUUCUCUGAUCCAGCUAGAUCUACCAAAUUCAACUUGCCACACUUGAUAAGUUCUUCACCUUCAGGAGUGGAUUCUUUGAUGUGAAUUGUUAUUGAAAAUAAAGAAUGUGACCGACUGCAAUUUGAACAAAAUUGUCAAAAAAACAGAAAGAAUUUAUCAUGACAAAUAUGUAGCAUAAGGGAAAUAAUGAGCAGAGGACCUGGAUUGCUUGUUUAAUAGAGUUUCUGCAGUACGACGUUUUGAAGACCCUCUUUCAAGCAAGGUGAAGAUUUCACUUGCGCUUGUUACAAUUUCUUCUUCAAUCCCUCUUACAAGAACUCCACCUUUACCAUCCUCCAUGAGAAGUAGCUGCUUUUUUUGCUUCUCCUCCGAACUAACUUUUGAUAGUUCCUCAGGAGCAAGCAAAUCAGUAAUUUCCUCAUUAUAUAACUCUAUAAAAGUUACUUUGACACUGUAUUCGGCAUUUUGACUCUCUAGAGUGUCAAAAAUUUGUUUGACGGCCCUAGGAAUAACCCCUGCUUCUGGAGGUAGCUGUCCCUUACUCCCACUCUGCAAUUGUAUAUAAUAUAUCUCAGAGCCCAUAACUCACUAGUGACUAUAUAACCUAGUUGCACAUGAAAGCCCAAAACCAAAGGCAUUUACUUAAGGAAAAUAAAAAAUGGAGAGUGGUCACAUCACAAUCACACACCUUAGAUUUUUUGCAUUCACCCUCCAUGGUGUAAGUUUUUCCAGUACCAGUUUGGCCAUAGGCAAAUAUGGUGCAAUUGAAUCCUUCUAACACUUCAUUUACAAUUGGAACUACAGCUUGAUCGUACAAAUCUCUUUGUUGAGCUGAGGGACCGAAAACCUGCAUAAUACAUUAAUACAUGUGAACAACUAAUCAUCAACUAGAAAGUAGAAAUUUAUAUAAGGGGGGAAAAACAAUCAAACGAUUAUAGUUUUAGUAAUUUAACAACAGGACCAGCAAGCUAAAUUUGGUGGAGUAAACAAUAAAAAGGAGAAUGUGAUGUACAAAACUUAAUUAAAAGUACAGGAAGAGUGUACCUCAAAUGGUUGUAGAAUAAUCAGGAAAGAGUAAAACAUGAAACGUAAAUUUGAUAAACCAAACAUACACUAGAGCAUCUUUGAAAUUCGAUAAAUCAAACAUACACUAAAUUUAUUGUGGUCUAUUGUGCUAAUAGAAAUGGAAUUUUCUUCAGAGAAUUACUAACAUUCAGACAAUUCAGUUAAAAGGAAAGAUAACAAUCACUCCAGCCAGUAAAUUCUUUCCUUAUAAUGUGUUAAAAUUGGAAUAAUACCUCCAUAACACCAUACUUUAUGCUUUAACUUGAAAACUACAUAUUUUAGCAAUGCAAAGUUGUGAAAAAAUUGAGUUCUUUUCCUGCGAUCCACAAUGCAUCGACCCACUAACUUAAUUGUAACAUAUGUAAGGGUCCGUUUGAUUAUUUAUGACUGGGUCUAAGAAGAAACUGAUUUUCAUCAAAGCUACUAAUUUCCAAGUCAAAACAUCCAAUUUUUUGGAAAACCUAAAUUUCGGAAAAGUACUAUUUGAAAAAAUGUGCUCUAACGAAGUCCCAAUCAACAUCCAGUUAAGUGAUUUCCCAACGAUUUUUGUGUUCAAUCAAAAAGUACAAUUACUUUGUAGAAAAUUCAAUUUCCAGAUUUGAACUUUCUCAAAUGCAUUUUAACAAAACUAAUUUUCCACCAGAAUAAGACAGACCCUAUAUUGCAAUCAGACAUAGAUAGUUCAUCAACAGAUUCUGUUUAUAGUUAACUGCUGCUGCAAUUUAGUCGCUUAUUUUACUUCAUGUAAAACAUGAAGAAAAUUACUUCAAGUAAAACUUGAAUAUAAAGAUAAAGUCUUGAACUUUCACUAUUCCCCUCAACAACUAAAGGAACAUUUCAAAGCAACUUCAGCUGAAAUCACAAAUUCCAAAAAAAAAAAUCACAAUACUCUCUACUCCAUCUUCACUCCUUCCCUUAAUUAAUGCAUAAUUAAUCAAAAUGCAUCAUUUUUUCGAAAACAAAAACCCUAGAUCUGAUAAGAACUAACAAAUUACAAAUACCUUGUCGAAAGUGAACACACGGUCGAUCUGUUUCCCAGCAAUAUUUUGAGAAACUGCAACUUCUCUUUGAUAAUCAUUACAAGUCACUACUUGUGGUGCAUUACUUCUCAAUUCAUCAUCACUAAAUGGCCUGAAGAAAUCAAAAUCAAAACACAAAUUUCAAAACCCUAGAAAUGAUUUUGAACUAAAUUGGACAAAAAAAAGAGAUUUCUAAAAGAACAAAAACCUAAUUUCAAAUUACCUGCAACGAAGAAGAACCUGAACAUUUACACCUUUAUCUACACGACUCAUCUUAAAAGAUCACACAACUCAAUAUCCAAAUCAAAUCGAGAAAGAGAAAUCACUCUUUCUCUCUCUACCACACUCUCUCUCUCUCUCUCUCUUGAAAAUUCUUACUUUCUCUCUCUAGAACCCUAUCUUUCUCUCUCUGAAACUCUUUCUCUCUCUCUCUCUUCUCUCUCUUUCUCUGUGUUUAACUGGAGGAGCGGGAUGACAUGAAAUUUGAAAUUUGCAAACCCGCUUGGGCUAGAAAACAAAAUCUGGACCACCCACGUUCAAUUAUUAUUAAUCUAACGGUUGUUAUUUCGAGAUUAAAGCGUUAGACGAAAAUAACCCUGCUUAAAAGACUUCAAAAUUAUUAUAGAGGUAAUGAUGUAGCAGUCCACGUACUACAUAUUGACAUUCUACUCCAUCCUUCUAGCUUAGGGAUGGUACCUAGGGCUUUUUUUAUUUUUUUUAGAUUUUUGGACAUACCCUAUUUCAAAGUCGAUACCCCCAUUUCAAGAUGCGGUGUUAUCUUAGUCGUCUAUCAUAAAACUAACUUACGGUUGUAAAGCUCUUCAUCUUGAAAUGGGGUAUCCCAAUUUUUUUUUUCAAAUGGGGUAUCUCAAAUUUUGACUUUCAAAUUGGGGAUAUGUCCAAAAAUCUCUUUUUUUUGGUAGAAGAUCUAGGGCUCUUCCCACCAACAUUAUUCUACUAUUAUAAACUGGAAUAAAAAAAUUCAAAGGUAAGUGGGAAUUGAACUUUAGAAAUUAAUACUAAUAUUUUUAUUAAAAUACCCUCAAUAGUUAAUACUAUGAUUUUAUCGUAAAUCAACAUAAUAUCUAUAAAAUCGUAGUUUUUAUUGUAAUUUUUAUUUAAGCAGAUGAGGCCCAAUAAUAAAUUAAGAGAUAAUCAAAUUAAUAAAUAUUAUAAAAAUUAAUAAUUUUUAAUCAAAAUAUAUCUUAUUAAAAUAGUUUUUCUACUUAGUUUCUAAAAUAAUGUCUUAAUAAAAUAUAUCUUGAUUAAAAAUUGAUAAUUCUCAUAAUAUUUAUUUAUUUGAUUAUCUCUUAAAGUAUUAGGCAUUUUACCUAUAAUAAAAAUACAACCGAUAAAUAAUAAUAUGUUAAAUUAAUAUAAAAUUAUUACUUUAAUGAUAUUAAUUUAAUUACGAUAAAAUCAUAAUUAUAAAAGUGUAUAUUUUAGUAAGAUAGGAAUGUAUUUCACAAAACUAUCAAAGUAGGUUGAAAUUGCAAGAUAAUAAGAUGUGCAUAUGCUUUCUUAUAUAGUUUAAAAAAUCGAGGAGAUUCGCGGAUAUUAAGUGAAUUCUUCCGUUAUUUUAGAAAUCGGAUCGGUAAUUAGUCUGAAUACUCAUCGAUACGUGAAACUCCCCAAAUCUAUGAAUAUCCCUUAAUUUUUGCCUAUAAUUUCAAGUAAUAGCGGAUUAUACUUAAAUUUUUAAAACUUAGUCCAAAAUUCGAGGUUUUAGGUUUAAACGUGAUAAUCUUUAAAGAAAAUUGGAGACUUGAGAAGCCAUUAGAGGAGUAAGAGUAAAAAGAUCCAUAUCUGAAAUUUGUUAGAUCAAGAUCUUAGUUUAGGUUGUUUCAAUAGUGAUCCAUUGUUUGUCUCUCUAUUGUUCAAAUCUCUUGAUUUUGCAAAAGAAAUUCUCUUAGUAUUAAGGUUUUGCGUACUCAUUCAGAUCUCUGCAACGUGGGCUAUAAUCUUAUUUUUAAAUAAACUUUGAUUAAUAUAGAUUUUUUUAAUAUUAAAAAAUAUAAAAUAAUUAUAUUUAUCUGUGAGAAACCUCCCCAAUCUGACACAUGAGAACGAUAUUUGCGGAUAUAGCCGAUUUUUUUGUUAGUUGAAAUUUUGCCUGAUAUCGACAUUUUAAACUAUGAUUUCUUAUACUUUUCAACCAUCAACAUAUUUUUUAGGUUCAUCUUUCCUAUAAUAUAUGGCUGAAAAUAGCAUGGGGGCAAGGGAUGCCACCAAGAUCCCACAUUCUACAACCGCAUACCUUUCUUCAUUUUUGGGAACCUCAAAGCUUCGGUUUCCAUUGUAUACGGUCUCCAAAACCUAUAUUGCAUCUUAUUUUCUUGUCAUUUCUUCAUAGGCCUAGAACAAAUAAAAUCAGUCCAUUUGUUCAUAGCAUCUCUCUUUUUCUGCAUUCUUACCAUCAUAUCUCGCCUAAUGUCCUCCAUCAUCAAAAUAAUUUGCUUAUCUUUUGCCUCAAGAAUACUCUCAUUGAAUGUCUCACACAUAUUGUUCUAUACAUUUUCACAAAAAGAAAAUGAAGCAUAAAAUGUUCUACUCCAGUUCCCAGGGUAUUGUUUUUCCAUUUAAUGAUUGUAAGCAUCUUUAGAACAUUUCUUUAUCUCUUCCAUGGUACUGUGAAACUGAAUAGGUGAACAUGCCUUGCUUGUUUGCCAAAAUAAAUUCUUCAAUUGCAUACCAGUGUAUGUCUUCUUGAAAUUGGCAUAAAUAUGCCUAGCACAGUUCCUAUAUUCAACCAUUGGUACUAUGUCAGCUAUAACAUUUAUAAGACUCUUUUGUUUGUCUGAAAUCAAUGUGAGAUCGAAUCCAUCUAUCAUGCCAAGAUCAGUCAUUAAUAACUCCAAAAACCAUUUCCAAUUGUUUGUGUUCUCAACAUUUGAUCCAAACGACCUAGCAAUAGAACUUAUAAUAGAAAGAAAUAUGGAAGCAUGCAAUAAAAAUGAAAAACAAUGAUAUGGUGAGAAUGAAAUCCUUCCUCUGAGGUUUUCUUUAUUGCUCUUGAAAAACUCAAAAAUUACAAUAUGAGAGGCUUCUUAUUCCUUUUUGGAUACAAGACCUUAAAAACAACCUACUAUAUGGCUUUCGCCUAUGCUUACAAUAUGUCCUAGCUUACAAGUCUAUUGUUUGCUCCCAGAUUCUACAUUGUGUUAUGGAGUGUUCUUCUAGAUGGUUUUGUGUGGCUACUAGUGACUUGCUUCUUUUUGGGUGACAAGUCUUGUAUUUAUACAGUGAAUACAAGUUCUUACUCUUUUUAGGGUUUCCAUAUAGAGUGAAUACUUGUUUCCUACUCAACAUAGAGCUUCUAUGAGAUCUUGGUAUCAAAUAGAGGUCUUGGACGUCAUAUGGACUUGGGCAUGUUGCUGGCUGUGCUGGUCUGCUGCCUGAAUAUUGUCAGAACUUUGAAGCCAAUUUCCUAACUAAAUACUAUGAAUUAGAACAUGUUUCAUAAAACCACAAAACUCCCACGAGAUCUAUAUGCUUUUGAUACCACUUGAUCCAAACGACCUAGCAAUAGAACUUAUAGUAGAAAGAAAGAUGGAAUCAUGUAAUAAAAACGAAGAACAAUGAUAUGGUGAAGAAGAAAUCCUUCCUCAAAGGUUUUCUCCAUUACUCUUGAAAAACUCAAAGAUUACAACAUAAGAGGCUUCUUGCAUGUUCCUUUUUGGAUACAAGACCUUAAAAACAAUUUACUAGAUGGCUUUCUUCUAUGCUUACAAUAUGCCCUAGCUUAUAAGUCUAUUGCUUACUCGUAUAUUCUACAUUGUGUUUUGGAGUGCUUUUCUAGAUGGUUUUAUGUGGCUACUACUGGCUUGCCCUUUUUGGGGUGACAAGUCUUGUAUUUAUAUAGUGAAUACAAGUUCCUACUUCUUUGAGGGUUUCUAUAUAGAGUUAAUACAUGUUUCCUACUCAACAUAGAACUUCUAGGGGGUCUUGAUAUCAAAAUAGAAGUCUUGAACGUCCAAUUGGACGUCCAAAUGGACUUGGGCAUGUUGCUCGUUGUGUUGGUGCCUGGUCUGCUGCCUGAAUAUUAUCAAAACCUUAAUCCAAUUUUCCAACUAACUACCAUGAAUUAGAACAUGUUUCAUACAUCGUUGGAAACCUAGAAAAAUGUACUUUCCAACCCAAAAGACGAAACAUGAUUCAGAUCAUUGAACACAAAGUUAUGGCCGAAUUACCACAAGGGUGUGUUUCAAAUACUUCUAAUCAACACCAAAAUCCUCUUGUAUCAACAUCUACUUAGCUCAUGCAAUAAGGAACAUCUGAUUGUUCCCACAUCUCCCAAUAACACUCAAUAACUGACCCUUACAGUAGGACUUAAGAAUACACCCAUCUAACCAAAUGACUAGCUUGCAACCCUCAAUCCAUCCAUCUCUUACUGCUUUGACGCACACAUACAUCCUCUUGAACACGUGAGGUUCAUCUAGUGAGUUCCUAUCAACUUGCAACUUGAUAGUACUGCCAAGAUUUUUAAGCUACAACUCAGCACAAUAGUUCCACAGUCUGCCAUAUGCUUCAUUCAAAACAGUAUCCACCUGUCCUAAUGCAAUCGUUUUUGCCCUACCAGCUUGACCAUUUGGCAGAUUAAAAACAUUUUUCUCUUUGAUUUUUUAACAAUUUUCUUACACUUCCAUUUUGUAUAAUGUUAUCCUUUAAAGUAGCAACACUCCACUUCACAUUUGCAAUCCUGAUUUCGAAAUCCUUAGUGCAUUUAUGUUUAUCCACCAAAGUCUUAAUUUGAAAUGCUUUCUUGUUUUCCAUCCAGCUAGCCAACACGUAAAAGUCACAACCUUUAACACAUCUCACUAUAAUGUUUUGGUUUGCAUUAUUUUUUGUAAACCUGAGAUUGUAUCCUUUACCAACGACAUAAUCUUUGAUCAACUUUUUAAAGUGUUCAAGAAAUUCAAACUUCAUUCCACUGAAUGGUUUAACAUGAAACACAUCAACUUUGGGAUCAUAUGAUGGGAAAUUGUCAGUUUUUCUUGUGAGUUCAUUUUCAUUGUCAGAAUCAGGGUUAUCAUAGUCAGAGGAACAUGCAUAUUCACUUCCAUAUCCAUCAUCUUGCUCCACCUACACAGUCUCACCACCCUCAGACACAAUCUCACUAGGAAGAGUAAGACACUCAAUAUUAUCCCCAUUUUCUUCAUUGUGCCUCUCUUAUAGUCAAUGGCCUUCAUCCUUACAAAUCGCAAUUCAUCAUCAUGUCCAGACAUAUGAUCCAAACUAGUAACAUCACUAUCAUUUUCUGAUUCACUAUCACUAUAAGAAACAUCAUUGUUACUGUCUUUACUUAGAGGUUCCAAAUAAGCAUCAUUGUUAUCAUUAAAAGAGACAUUACCAGGGAUAUUUAGAUCUUUUCUGACAUAUUGCUCAUCAUGUUCAAUUAAUAUCACAACAUAUUUCUCCUUAUUGAAUAACUCUAUAAUAGCAUUAGUAUCCACAUCAUCCACAAUAAACUUAAUAUUAUCUUCUAAGUGUUCACCAAGGAUGCAGUAAUACAUGUAAUUAAUAUUCUUUGUCUUUGAGUCAUCCUGAAUCAUGUUUUUCAAUUCAAAGAAAGAGAAUCUAUCAACAUCAAUAUUAUAAAUGUGAUCCAUCCUUUCUUUAAUAGAAUGCAAAAUAAGAACUCUUCCAAAGCUCCCAUUCCAAUAAACUUCAAGACCACAAUUUGGUCCACUUGACACUAUAUAAAAUAAUAUACAAAAUAUAUAAGAGAAAAAAUUACAGACUUAUUAUCAUUAACAUUAUAGACUUCUAACUUCAAUGUCAUAUAAACAUUGCAAACUUAUUAAACAAACAUCAUAACAUAUAAGAACGGAAAUUUGAUAAUCCAAUAUGAGUGAAUGAAAGACACCUUCGGGAUAAAAUUUUAAAUCAAAUUAAACAUACAUCAAACUUCAAGGCUUCAAGCAAUGAAAAACCAUUUUGUUUAUAACAAAAAUGAAUCCACAAAACCCAAGCUUUGACCUUAUUUGUUUAUAUAUGACACAAUUCGAAAUUCUAAUUUAAAAUGCAAUAUACACUUAGAGCGUGACAAGUAAUUAAAAAUGCAUCUACAUCAAGAUUUAUAUAAUCAAUAUUUAAAAUAAGUAUCUGUGGCAAAAUUGAGUAAAAUAUGCACUUUAAAAGAAAAAAUAGGUUAAGAAAAAUUUGAAUCCAUUUUCCUGGGUAAUGAAGUAUUUAACCCGACUCUGAUCCGGGUCGGAUACGAUUUAUGUUUAAUUGGGCUGGAUCCUUCUAUAUUCUCUAAUCUCUACAAAAUAUCGAUAUACACUUAACACAUUCUCAACUUGUAUGUGUAAUAUUACUAAACAUGUGAGGGUUAGAUAUGUCAAUUUACAAGCUUUUGUAUAGAAAAAACUUUUCGUCAAUCAUCACUAUAGUCUAGAAGAUCAGAAUAAAAUGAAAGUAGAUGAAAAGACUGUGGUUGCAUUGGAAAGGUGUUGAUUUUCUUUCUUUGAAACACAAAGAAGAUUUAACAUUAGACUUUAUACCUUUUUCUUUUCUCAUCGUCUCACUAAUUCUACCCAUUUUACUCGAGUAUUUAACCAUUUUAACAAAAUUCCUUUCUCUUUUCUUAAAUUUGAACAAGAAAAAUUUAAUUCAUUAAUUUUUCAUAUGUAAGUUGAAUUAUAAGUCCUUACAGGAUCAAACAAUUAUCUAUGAUUUGAGGAUUUGUUCAUCGAGUUCUUAGAAAAGAAAUAAAAACGGGUUAGUACAAGUCGGGUUUUGAUCAACUAAUGUUAAAAUGGUUCAGAUUUGGUGGGGAUAAAUAAAUCCGACUCGGGUUUGGAUUCAAAUCCGAUUUAAGAUUAAAAAAUAUGGAUAAGAUUAUAGAUCUACCUUGAUCCGACCCAAACCCGACCCAUUUACAUCUUUAUGCUAAACUCUUGUCCUUUACACAACCAUGUGGUUUAUCUAGGUCAUGUGUACUGAUCUAGUGUUUAAAUCAGGGUUUUCCAAGCUUGAUAAAGUUUGUAGCAACAUCAAAGCUCUUAUAUGGUUCUAAGUGGAUUCUAGCGUGCUUCACAAAUAUUUCUCUUUCGCAGAUGUCAUCGGAAACCGGGAGUUGUGGCUUCUUUCUUAACUGUGGAUAUAUGAAAGAGUUUGUUCUGACUUGUAGCAUCAACUAUGUGACCUUUUCCAUCACCAUUCAUGUUCAUGUUUUUAUGAAUUUUGUAUUUGUUUUACAUUGUAACUUGGUUGCAUUUUUUCACUACCUAAAGAUGGUGUUCAGGCAUAUUGGUUAGGGUGUAACUGUUUUUUGGAUAUUAAUAAAAUAUCAAUUUACCCCCCCCCCCCCCCCCCAAAAAAAAAAACCCUAGAAAAGUCCCUUUGAUGCAAGAUGAUAUUUUACUAUCUGACAACAAGAAAAUCAUAUUAACAAUGCUCCCUACCUACAUUAAAGAAGGUUUCAUCCAGCUGAAUGAAAUUAUCACAUGAAAAUUUUGUCCAAUGAGUAUUGCAUAGUCUUUUUUUUGUUCUUCGCAACAUGGGACUCAAUAUAUAUAUAUAUUUAUGGCAAAGGGGGUUGAGGGGCCCCCUACCCUUUAAAUUAAGUGAGGAAACUUAUAUCAACUGCUGACGUGUUUCGAACCCACGACCUUUCCACUUUGUGAAAAGGAUGCAACCGUUGGGCCACAUGCUUAUGUGCAAAAAAAGUUGGUAGUAAACACAUGUUUUUAAUGAGAUUAGUAACCCGGUAAUGCUGUCAAGAUUCAAAUCCCAGACCUCUAGUAUUAUCACCCAAAGGUUUUACCAAUUGAGCUCGACUGACACCUAAAAAAAAUGUUGUGGUAAGCCUGUUUUUAAUGAGAUCAGUAACUCGGUAAUUCUAGCGGAGUUUGAACCCAGACCUUUGGUAUCAUUACCUAAAGGUUUUACGAGCCCAACUGGCACCUGCAAUAAAUCUGCUGGUAAACCUGUUUUUAAUGAGAUCAAUAACUCGGUAAUGCUGACAAGAUUCGAACCCCAAAACUCUGGUAUCAUCACCCAAAUGUUUUACGACUCAAUUAAACUCAUUGUCUCUAGAAUAAAUUCUAGUAAAUGUUUGAAUAAUUUUUUAUGACGUUAUGGAUAAAUUAAAUUUGUUAAAUUUUACACUUGUACUAAACCAAACACACAGAUUGAGGUACACGUUUUGAACCAAUGGAUUUGCUAUAUUGUUGUAUGGGAAUUAAGACAAGAUGGGGAAAAUCGAACACCGUAGACUAGAACUGGAGGUGGUGUGAUGGUAGGGGAGGAGAAGGAGGUGGGGAAAAUUGAACACCGUAAAAUAAUGUGAUUACACAUUUUAUUAUAAAAUCUAGUGGUAAUUUUAUUUGAAGACAUUUUCAGUUUAUUGAUAUUUAAAAAGGAGAGGUUCCAGGGACUUUAGAAAUAUUUGACUCAAUCCUAUUUCGGGUAUUUAUACAUGUUGGAUUGACAUGAUUUUAGGUGGAUGUGAUCAUAUUUUAAAAUAUCGGGGAUAUGUCGGGAUUUGAGAAAUAUAUAAAUAUCCGCGAAUAUUCACGAACUCAUAUUCUAAAUUCUUUUUUAGUGUCGAAAUCUCGACAUAUACCAUUUUUUUCAGGAUUCAAAAUUUUGUUCGAAAUCGGCGUUUUAAACUAUGAAUAUAAUCUCCUUACUAUAUACAUCUACUACAUAAAAAAUCAGUUCAUUUGAAAGAAUUUAGACCCAUGCAUCAUAUGUAAUAUUAAAUUCAAUAGUAAAAAUGAACGUUCCACAAUACAUUAACUUGUAAUAUUAUUUUUAUAGGAUUUAGAAAAUUUGAUUACGAUAAAUUUUGGUGAAAAUAUCAUACAUUAACAUUCAUCCUAAAAAAAUCCUGCCAACCCAAUAUGUACAAUUACCUCAAAUAAAAUUGUUAAAAUUGAGUCAAAUAUUUCUUAAGUCCCUGAAACCCCUCUGAUCAAAAUUUACAUCAAUCAAUUUAUCCCACGUGGAUGUGGCUAUGAAGUGGCAACACAAAUUUCUUACACAAUGGAUAAGGAUGAUGCUUUAACCUCUGGGUGGAAAGGCCAAACUCCAAAGGAUAUGGCAUGUACAGUAUCAUUUUUACCUCCAGUAGCAACCAGCCAACAGCCCAACAACCAGCUUUUGGGAAAGAAGUUUCAACUCUUUACCAAAGAAAGAAGUUGUACACAUGUUGUGUUCCUUUCUAUGUUUUCUCACAAUUAUCAAACUCAAUUAUUAUUAUAUCUUCAUUUACCUUAAUUAGCGGCUAGCUUUACACAAUUACACAUUGGUCUCUUCAAACUUGAAACAAUUCUUCUCUCAUCAUUCAUCAACAUCAACAUCUUGUUUUCUUUCUAUGGCCAAUCAGAACAACAACCAACUCAGUUCUAUCUCACAGAGUCGACCCGUUGGUGGAACUGAGUUCAGUUGGUGUCGAGCUGUUCCAGGAGGCACAGGUAUAUCAGUUCUUGCUCUUCUUCUCUCUAAACCUCUUGAUAUUCAGAUUCUCCAAAACGCCCUUAAUAAACUUCAAAUUUCCCAUCCAAUCCUCCGAUCUAAACUCACUUAUACCGAUCCCAUUACCUUCACCAUACCUCCUUCUCCUCACAUUCAAAUCCAAUUCCAUGACUUACCCUCCACUUAUAAUCUCCUUCAAUCAAACCCCUCACAGUCUCUUCUUUCCCCUUUUCAUCAAAUUCUUGAAUAUGAAUUGAGUCAAAAUGAAAAUUGGCCUAACCCAUUUGACUCAGUACAGACCGAUUCCGAUACUUUUUUUUGUAAUCUUUAUGAUAUAGAAGAAGAAACGAAAAGGGUAUUAACGUUUCGACUUCAUACUUCAGUUUGUGAUCGAACAACAGCAGUAGUUUUGCUUAGAGAAUAUUUGGAUAUAAUUCGUGAGAAAGAAGAGGUUGCAGGGGAAUUAGGGAGUGGUGAUGAGGUUAAUUUGGGAAUUGAGGAGCUUAUUCCAAAUGGGAAAGCUAAUAAGCCAUUUUGGGCUCGUGGGGUUGAUUUACUUGGUUACUCAUUGAAUUCAUUCAGAUUUGCUAAUGUGGAAUUCAAAGAUGUUGAGUCGACUCGGACAACUGGUGUAGUUCGUGUGCGGUUUAACUCAGAUCAGACUGAUAGAAUUCUUGCUGUAAGUAGAUUUAUCACUUGUUAGUGCUAAUUUUAGAUUUAGAUAUCAUAUUCAUAUGCUGUAACUGUUCACUUUGUUGCUGAAUGCUGAUCUCAAAUUUUGGUGGCAAUGCGGGUUUGGGGGGUGCAGUUAGAUAAAUGCUAUUAUGAAAGACUAAAAUUAUAUUGUCCUUUAAUAAUUGAGGAUGCCAUGACUUAGGUUUACAAUCUAUGCACAACAAACAUGACAUGUUAAUGUCAUAAAUCUCAAAUGCCAUGUUUAUCGUGUUUUGUUAGAACUUAGAUAUAAAUGAGCAACUGCCUGUGCAUAUGGCUCUUCAGUGCCUUAUGCAGCCUUUGAAAUAUUUUGUUUCUAGCCUAUAGAUUGUUCUUGACCAUAAUUUUGAUGCAAUAUUAUCCAUAUAACAAUAAUUGAGUUGUGGAAUAAAGUAAUACAAAACCAGUUUCUUUAUGCUCAACAAUAUCUUUUAUGCCUGUAUAGCUCUUUUUCUUUAUUGCUGACAUUCUGAUCAUUACCAAGCCAUGCUUGUAACUAGGAGAGUGAGUCUUAACUCUCAGCCUAGAUGGGAAUUUCAAUAUUUAGUUUGUUUGUACCGAAAAAUUUAGGAACUAAAUCUCAAAAACUACGAUAAAAGAAUGAUAGCGUGGGCAUGAUAUAGAAUAUAUAAAACAUAAUUUUUUACAUAAAGUGAAAGGUCAUAGAAGUAUUACAAUUUUUUUUUUAGAACCAUGCAGGACCUUUGUAAAAUUGUAUUCAUGUCUAAUGCAUGCAAUUACAGGCUGAUGAGCAUGUUUUGAAAGCAUUGUCCUGCAAAUUUUUUAUUUCAGUACAAUCCAAACAUAUGCUUUAACAGCAUUUAACAUUGGCUUUAUAUCAAUGAAUAUCUUUUACUUAUCAAAAAAGAAGUAAAAAAAACCCAAUAGAUUUCAUCAUACCAGCACUAGUUUCUUUUCCCUUGCUUUUCACAUGUAUUUUUUUUUUUUUUUUUUUGAUGACUAAGCAUUGAGUUGAAGACUGCAUCCCACCCCAAAUUAAAAGUAACAACUUGAUUUGAUAAACUUUUUGCCAAGCGAGCUGUUUUUGAACAUCAUAUAUUAACUCUGGAUAUCAUAUUCUAAACCAACAUUAUUCUUCUAAACAUCAUCCUGAUCAUUAUUCUUCUAAACCACAUGUUUUGUGUAAUCUCAAUCUGUUAAUUUGUGUGGAUUGCAGGGUUGCAAGGCAAGAGGGAUCAAACUGUGUGGGUCCUUAGCAGCUGCUGCAAUAAUGGCUGCUUAUUCUUCUAAAGACCUCCCUGAUUACCAAUGGGAGAAGUAUGCAGUUGUAACCCUUGUUGAUUGUCGUAAAGAACUUGAUCCCCCUCUUCAUAGCCAUAAUCUUGGUAAAUCUUUUUUUAUCUUGGUGCCUUCUACAAAUGUACAUGUUAUCAAAAUUUAACUUGCUAACAUUUUUCUUGUUCAAAAUGUAUGAAUUAUUAUGUCUCCAUGACUCAGAACAUCUAUGACAGAGCUAUUUGUUUCAGGUUUUUAUCAUUCCGCUAUCCUCAACACACAAGAUAUCUCUGGAGAAACAGAACUGUGGGAGCUCGCAAGUAGAUGCUACACAGCCUGCAAAAAUGCAAUGAACUCCAACAAGCAUUUCACAGACAUGAAUGACCUUAACUAUCUCAUGUGUAAGGCCAUAGACAACCCUGGUUUGACCACUAGUUCAUCUUCAAGAACGUCGUUCAUUGCUGUGUUUGAAGAUCCUGUGUUCAAUGAUUCAAGGGAUUUACAGCAAGAAAUUGGUCUGGAAGACUAUGUAGGAUGCUCUUCAGUUCAUGGGGUGGGUCCAUCAAUUGCUGUGUUUGACACUAUAAGAAAUGGAGAGUUGGACUGCUCUUGUGUAUAUCCAAAGCCUCUACAUUCAAGAGAACAGAUGCAAGAGCUCAUUGAUCACAUGAAGAGAAUUCUAGUGAAUGAUAGUGCUUGAGUAGGAGGUUUGGGUCCACAUAAACUCUGUUCACUGAACUGAUUCAUGUAUGAUUUCUCUACCAUUGAUCUUCUCAAUGUACAUUACAUUAUUAAUCUACACGCAUGCAUAUCCGGUUGGGCCUAUUUUAACAAUUAUGGCGAGGACACCUUAUUACAAGUGCAUUACUGUUGUGCAACACUCUCUAGAUGCAAUUUUCUUCAGAGAUUUAUUGUGACCAUCUCACCUUCUCCGUAUUAUGUAAAAAUGUUGAUAUUAUUAAUGAAAUAUAAUUUUUUAUGUGGUAAUAUUUUAGGUCGUCAGAAUUUCUUGUUACUGCUCCAUUGAUUAGGAAACCACAUGGUUUAUAAUGUCUGAAUGUUUCAGGUUAAGUUUUUUUGAUUAACUUUUAGAUAAAAUACAAUAACCAUUCUUUUAAGGCUUGGGAACUGUGUCAGAAAUUCGUGAAAUUUAGGACUUUUCUUUUUUUGAACGGAGUUUGUUGUUGUCCCAUAUACUGUGAUUGAAAACUCGUGAACUUUGCAUACAACAGCAUUUUAUAUAGGUUAUACUAUAAAGGAAUACAUGUGUCUACCAAUAUAUCUCUAUUUUUGGGUUGGGAUAGGUUUUGAGAAUUUAUAUUAUACCUUCUAUACAGAUAUCGUUUACUUGGUUUUGUCAGGUAGCUAGGUUGCAAAUGCUCAACAGUUUUAACUGAAAAGGAACUCGAGAAUACCUUUCAAAUUCUUACUCCAAUGAUGCUUUUGUAAUAGAAAGUGUUUAAACUCACAUUAUAGUUUAUCCUAAAAGUUAUCGGUUGAAACUGAGAGCAACAACUUGCAUGUUUCAUAUGGUUCUAUUGAAAGCUUUAUCUUUUGAGUUUUGACAAUUUUGUGUCUUUAAAUAUACUCCCAGCAGAACAAAUAAACUCCUUCUGUAAAUCUUACUUAUUGUUUACUACUGUUCAUUCAAAUCUAUGAUGGUGUCUGAAUAGCAAAACUUCUGGCAUAUUAUUGUUUUAUAAUUUUUACUUCCAUCCACAGAAUGUGUUAGGCACUUAUCACUGCGAAAGCUUGCCUCUACUUCAACCACACUUUCUAUAUUCCAAGGACAUGAGCUAAGAUAAUGAAAUUGGUUACUGUAGGUAUGUUUUAAUUACUGUAUCAAUAGAUCAGUACUAAUAAUUUAUUGCAUGUGUUCAUAUAAGUUACACUCUGUAAGACUAUUCUUUCACCUGUUCCAAUGUAAUUUAAAUACAUUGGAAUGCUAUAGGAAUCCUCCAAGAUUCAUGUCUGUGCUUUUCUCGACCAGACUGUUAUCACCAUGGAUUUCACAGUAAAAGUCACUUAGUUCAUCACUAGAGCAAACAAUUACAGUCCAAGUCACCUCAGUCGUGAAUGCAAAAAGCAGACACAUACACAUUUACUCAGUUGUAAAUGCAACUAAAUUUCAAAAAGCUUCUUGUUUUGUCGAAAUUCAUCAGUUAUGUUGCUGUGUAUGAGUAGAUGAUUACAAAAGUAAGAACACUUAAAUGCAAUACUAAUAUAAGCAGGAAUAAUUAAAAUUAAUUUUAAUAGAAGUCGAUCAUCUAGAACUAUUUGUUGUCAAGAGUAGAUGAAGAGAUUAUCUUACCCCUCCAGUGAUAUUUUAACCUAGAGAUGCAACUGAAGGGUUAACAGUGGUUGAAUGUCACAUUAGGUUAGGUGUUGACAAUUGAACAAUUUUUUUAUUGAUCAUAUAAAUCGCAGACUAAUUUUCAUCUUUUUUAUUCGCAAUAUUGUUAAUUUCUGUCUUUUGGUUUUCCGUAUCCUGAAAGUAGUGGUAUGGUCACUGCUGAGCGAUGCUUAAAAAUAAGCUUAAGGCCAGUACAGAAUCAAUGUAGAUCCAACUUAUUGCAUCAUUAUAUGAUCAAAUAAACACUGAAUUACAUGUCAAAUCAUCAAUACAACUUAAAUCAAGAUAACGGAAAAGGCAGAAGCCUUGGAAAUGACUCAAAUGAGAAAUCUAAGGUUUAGGUGCUAGACCAGCCUUAAUCUUCUUUAUAGUGGCAAUAUCGGUUUUAAAUGCCUUAGCAAGAAUGCCUUCGUCGAUCCCAGUGGUAAAGACGGAGGCAGGGACUGAUACAGUUCCGGCACUUGCACUGCCAAAGGCAGAGAUGGCCAUGGCGGAUUCCUUGGUAUCGGCAUUGUACUGAUAAUGCACAAGUCCCUUGGGAAACACAAACAUGUCUCCUAGUUGGAGUGUUUGAUUGUAAAGCUUGUUAGUGGUAUCGAUCACUCCCACCUCGAGACUACCUUCAACUACGAAAAGGAGCUCAGCAGAGCGGGGGUGGGUAUGAGGUGGGUUGGUGCUACCAGCAGGGAAUUGCAGUGUAGCAAAGGAAACACUCUGACCAUUGAGAGCGGGAAAUUCAGCCAUGCUAGCUUUGGUCACAGUGAAGGUUGCUGGGGGAGUUUUAUCAAAUAUUCCACGCAGGCCAGUAAAAGUGAAGAAUGAACCAUCAAUACCAUUAGAGUUUUGUGGUGCGACGAAGUCUGUAAGGAUAUCUGGAUCACUUGCAUUCACUAAGGUAACCAAAGCCAAUAAUAGGUAAACGAAAGUAGGCUUGAGAAAUUUUGACGCCAUUUUAAAAGAUAAAGAAGAGUUUAUAGCUGAAGCAGUUAGUCUGUUGUUAUGUUGCGUAUUUCAGCUUGAUCAUCUAUUUAUAGACUUGAGGCCGGGUUGUGUUUGAAGCAUGGGAUUUGCAUGAGAUCGAGGUUGUCAAGGCUAGUUUGUGGCUCCAUCUACCUUGGCUCCUUAUAAAUUGAACAAGAGAGAAUAUAAACAGCUCAUACUAAUCCACAAAAAUAAUAGGACACUAACAUAUUCCAAAUAAAGAUAAGUUUGUUAUCUUUUUUCUGCUAUGUACUUUUUUGCCUAUAGCUUAGGACUUUCAGAAACUAGGGGUAUUUAGGUUUUAGUCAUUUUAUGUAUAUACUAUUUAGGGAAUAGUCACUUAAGUUCGAUUAAUUAGGUUUUAAUCAUUUGGUUUAACUUGAGUUAAAAAAAAUCCGGGUUUAACCGAAAUAUUCUCUUAAAUGGCUAAAUUACCCCUAAAAGUCGUGUGCAUUGCACAUGAUUACUUAAAAUUAAAAGAAAACAUAAGAACAUCUUUUUUUUCAGCCACCACCACCAUCCACUACCACCAGCUCUCUCUCUCUCUCUCUCAAACCAAUCCACCGUAUCACCACCACCACCUCCUUCUUUUGCACCAUCGUCGACAACCACCUUCCGCUUUCUCAAACACCAUCGUCCACCACCACUUUUCUAUCUAAUACCGCCAUCCACCACCACUAAUCUCUUUGAAAUUGAAAUUUCACAACAGAAAUAUACCCAAUCUCCAUAUGGGUUUUGUUCAACAUCAAUUAGUUUUAUUUUGGCAACCAUUUUCUUUUCAAUUUUUUAUUUCACAUAUUUAGUUGAGUGAAUAAAUGAAUAGAGCUUCAAUUAAUGAUUGUUUUGAUGUUUUUUUUAAUUUGGGUUUGAAAGGAACGAUAAUAGAGUAAUUUAGGAGAGUAUUUUGAAGAUAUUGAGUGUUGCUUUGAGAGAAUGGUGGUGAAAUAAGAUAAUGGUAGAGUUUAUUAAUCAAAGACAAAUCUAUGUUACUGCUAAAGUCUUGUGAUACAAGUGUUUUUUCAGUAAGGGUAUUUCUGCCAUUUUCAAAUGUUGUGUGGUUCAACUACCGGUUCGUGACCAAAACCUAAUUAAUCAAACUUAAGUGACUAUUCCCUAAAUAGUAUAUACAUAAAGUGACUAAAACCUAAAUACCCCUUCCAGUAAGAGAAAAUAGAUUUUUGAACAUUUUUUGCGGUUCUAUUUGCUGGGUGAUUUUGAGUCAAAGAAAUACCUGUACAUUUGAGUCCAAGGAGCAUGUGACUGAGCGCAUUGCAAUCGACAUCAAUGAGUUGCUAUGUUCUUAGAUUUCAGCUCAUCCAAUGUUCAAAGAUUUUCGUCUUUUAACUUCACUGUAGGUUGGGAUAUAUUCAUACUGAAAUUCCCAUUUUGGUUAUUCUUUAGAAUAAUUCCUUAAUAUUAUUUAUUUAAAAGAUCACUAUAUUGAAUUUAUAAACAUCCUUGGUUUAUUAUACUUUUACUACAAGCUGUGAAAUAUAUUUGUAGAGUUCAACUUGCCAAGCUCAAUGACAGCUUCCAGGAUCUUUCCUCUAGAACCAAACAAAAAUCUUGCAGUUUCCAACUCUUGUUUCAAUCUAACAGGCCUGCAUACUAAGCACACAAGCCUGAUCAGCUUUCUGCUUUCUUCUACAUAUAAAUAACAUCCUUGUGGAGUUCAUAUACAUAGUCUUACCUUCUUACAGAAACUGCACCAAGUAAGCUAUCUUAGAGUACAGUAAGCUAGCAUGGCUUUCGAUAAGCGUGGAAGCCUUGUAGUAUUUGUUGUCUUUGCUGUUUUACAAAUGGCAAAUGCAGGAGAUCCAAACAUCUUAACAGACUUUGUUGCCUCACCCAAUGGGACAGCGAUUGAUGCCAACUUCUUCACCUACACUGGAUUCCGAGUUCUUGUUGGGGAACCAACACCCCCUGCUUUUAACGUCUUGAAGGCUACCAAGAUGGAAUUUCCAUCUCUUGAAGGACAGAGUGUUUCUUAUGCUGUGCUUCAAUAUCCAGCUGGCACUAUCAACCCUCUUCAUUCUCAUCCACGCUCAGCUGAGCUACUGUUUCUUCUUGAAGGUACCCUUGAAGUGGGAGUUGUUGACACGACUAACAAGCUCUAUACUCAAACACUGCAAGCUGGUGACAUGUUUGUGUUCCCAAAGGGACUUGUUCACUACCAGUAUAAUGCAGAUUCCAAGAAUUAUGCCCUUGCAGCAUCAGCCUUUGCUAGUGCGAGUGCUGGAACCGUUUCGGUUCCCAAUUCUGUGUUUACCUCGGGCAUUGAUGACACCGUCUUGGCUACAUCCUUUAAGACUGAUGUUUCUACCGUUGAAGCGAUCAAGGCUGGACUAAAACCCAAGGCUUAAAAGUAGAGCCUGUAUCACUUGCAUGUAUGUCUUAUUCUGAACUAUGUAUGCAAUUAGUUUAGGGUCAUUUCAUCAACGAAUGUAGUAAUCAAAGUUAACUCCACUACAAAUAAAGCUGCUACCCCAAUAAUAUUUUAUUCAUAUUGAUUAACAGCUGUUCUAUAGUUCUGAUCAUUUGAUUAACAGCUGCUCAUUAUCUUUACAGAUGAUACUCUACUCUACUAUAUGAUAUGAACUACAUCGUCAUGAUGGUGUCGUCCAGUAACAGCAAACAUUAGCCUUACUUAUUAAUAAAGGGUUACAUUAAUCCUACUUAUUUGAAAUUUAAGAUUCUGGCGUUUCACGCAAUGAAGUCAAUUUUGAAUCUUUGAUCUAAUGAACGUUGUCCGUCAAACAUCAACUGUUGUGUUUAUCUGGUAUCAUAUAUAGGCCCUGAUUAGUAAACUAUAGAUAGUUUUCUCUUUAAACUUGAGUUAGUUUUGAUCCCGCCAGUAGGGUGGUUGAAGAAAUAUUGAUCUUAAUUUAUAUGAAAUUAAUGGAAAGCUUCAUUGAUUUAUAUGAGGAAUUACUAGCUCUUCCACAUGUUGUUAAGAAAACACAUUUGUUAUCUGUUGUAUUAAGAUAAUGAUUUGCAUAUAUUUCUGUCGUCUAGACUACGCAUAGUGAUUUGAAGUGAAAGCCUUAAAGGCAAGAAGUUAAAUGAUAACACCAGAUAAUAUGUUCACCAUCUACCGUCUACCAGUACCUGAUAGCUGAUAGGCCUAACAAGAUAGAUCUUCAGAGUUUAACAAAGCGCAUUAGUAUGUGUGGUAUGAGAUGGUUACGAAGUUUCAGACAUAAAUCUGAUACACAGGUCCUAUUAAAGUGUCCCUGCAUUUUUGAGUCCUCGUGUCUAAAACCAGUAACACAGCAAAUUCCUUUAAAUGAUUAUGAGUUGUGACAUUGUUAUGUUGCUUUUCAAUGUUUAUGAUCUCAGUAUUGCAAUUGCAUUACUAUCACAACUGUUGAACAUAUUUGAGGAUGUUUCUAAGUCACCUUUGCUUCAACUAGUUGUCUUUGCAUGGCAAGAAUGGUAAUCACUGGAAAUUACAUGUCAUAUUUUACAACAUCAUAUUGAUAAUAAAACCUUCAACUAGAAAAUUAAUGUAGUAUGUAUCCAUCCAUUCCUAAAAUGGCAGCUUUAAACUCGCUAAGAGUAUUAUUCAAAAAAAAAAAAAAAAAAAAAAACCUCGCUAAUAGUAUUGCUAAAGUUAUCUGAAAUUUUGGAUGAUUAGAUCGAUGUGGAAGUUGGACAUGGUGCCAAGAGGUAUCUUCAUUUUGAAGAUUACACCCUCACCUAGAGCCUUUGACACCAUUAAAAGUAAGAAGAAUGUUGGUGAUUGUGAUGUUGAGGUGUAGACAGGGAUUAACAGGAGACCAAGCCACAGAGGAGGUUGCUGCUUGCGAGAAAAAAAAAACAAAAGGAUCAUGAGGAUGGAACGGUGUAAGUACAGCUUCUAGACCUGUUCAAAUUUCAUGAUUUAGCGCCUUUAGUCCGUCAGUUAAUGUUGUCGCCUUGGGGGCCAUUACGCUGUAUUUGUAGUUUGAUCGUAGAUAAACUUGUAUGACACCUUGGGGGCAAGGCAACAACCUUAAUUUUCUGAAUCGUAGUUAUAUUCUUAUUGAAGGCCACGGCAGAGAUGGCAUCAUCAGUUCCACUACCAAAUACAGACCAAGGGACCUGAUGCGUACAUUCCUGACAUUUGAACUACAAAUGGUCUAUCCCCUGGCUGUUUCCUUUGCAUGGCAAUGUACUGGUCAUUCAUUGAGUCCCUGAGGGCCUGUGGAAACAUACACAUUUCCCCUGUAUCUAGCAUUUGAGUGUAAACUGUAAAGUUUGUUAGUGGUGUCAGCAGAUUAAGAAUGAGUAUGAACAUUUUAUCGUGAAAGAGGUGUGACCGUGGAUGUAGAAUUAAGUGAAUCUAUGAAGUCUGCAGCGAUGUCUGGUUUGCUUAUUGAUCAAUGGAGAUAUAAGCAAGUUAAUAAGAAGGAAGAACAUGAGGUACUGUAGGAUAUGGAGACCAUAACGACAUGCUUUAGAGUUGAUUCAACCUCUUUCAUAAUCUUUUUAAAGUCUUUUGAAACUUUUGACCCUGACAGGCUCAAUAGCCUGCAGUGGCCGGCUGAUACUGAAGUUCAUUAGGCUUGUUUGUCUUUCCCUUAAUCUCGCCUUUUUCCUAUUAUUGUUGAAUAACAUGGAUUCUCUUAAAGGCUCCAUCAAAACCAGAGUUUGUCUUCAUCAUCUAUCUACUUAAUAGGUGACUUUUGGAAAAUACUAAAGGCAAUUCCAAAAUAUCAAUAAAAUAAAAGAUAUAUUCCCUGCAUCAUAGAAAUUUCAGAACUGUAUACUAAGCCGAAAAGAUAUAUGCCAUUGUAAUUGACAUCUGCAGGGGCCGGCCGAAAAGACUGAACAAGAAGAAUCCUGUAUAAUUUUUCUACUAAUCUCCAUAGAAAAAAAGUUUGCAAGAUAUAUUACUAUACAUGCCCCAAACAUUGACAUGGAGUACAGGUUCAGAAAUGCUUUCUUAGUACUAGUAAUUUCCUUUGGUGUUAUACUAACAGCAAAAGCCGGUGAUGCAGACAUCCUUGUAGACUUCGUAAUCCCUUCAAAUGUCACUGUGGUUGACGGAAGCUUCUUCACCAGCACCUCUAUGCGGGUCCUUAUUGGGGCAGAACCUCCCACGUUUUUUAGUGUAAUGAAAGCAAGUUUGGUUGAAUUCCCAGCUCUGAAUGGACACAGUGUUUCCUAUGCGGUGUUACAAUACCCAGGUGGGACUGUCAACCCUCCUCAUACACACCCUAGUUCGUCCGAGCUUUUGUUCCUUCUCACUGGUACUCUUGUAGUGGGGUUCAUUGACACCAGUAAUAUUAUUUACACAAAGUCCUUGCAAGCAGGGGACAUGUUUGUCUUCCCUAAAGGACUGAUUCACUACCAGUACAACAGCAAUGACAAUGAGUCUUCCUUCGCACUCUCUGCCUUUGGCAGUGCAAAUGCUGGAACUGUUUCAGUCCCUGGAGAUGUGUUCACCUCUGGGAUUAGCGAUUUUGUCCUUGCAAAGGCUUUUAAGACGGAUAUUUUCACUGUUCAGAAGAUCAAGGCUGGUCUUACACAGGCCUGAGGAAGAUUUAGUGAUUCUUAAUAUCAGUUGUACAUCAAAUGUUUAUAGGUUUUGAUCUAUAAUUUAGCUAGCUACUCUUUUAUAUCUUACAUAUAAUAAAUUAGUUAAUUUCUCCACAAUUGUAUUGUGAUUAUAUAAUUACAAGAGGCAAUGGUAUAUAUGUAUUCGUAGUUAGAUAAUUUUUAUAGACUCCAAUCACAUUACAGCUUACUUGCUUGCUUAUAGUUAAGUUGAUACAGAAACUACAGAAGAGCAUAUUUCACCUGUGUAUAUAUAGACUCAGUAAAUUUCAAGUUGUGCAUUUCAGAACUACGAAGUUUUGAAUGUAUGUGAACAUAUAUAUGCCAUGAUAAUACAGAUGAACAGAGCUUGGUGGCGGAUUAGAACCACAAUGCAUGGCACGAUCCAUAUAUGAACAACCACCCGCAUGAAUGUACCAGCUUAGAUUGAGUGCAAUCUCAGGAGAAAAAGCUUUGUUUUCUUUGUGAUGUAAACAAGGAAACUUGGGUAUCCUGUUCAGUAACUGACCAGUAAUCCUUAAAAUCCCGAAUUGUCAAGGAGCAGAAAGUCUAUACUAUACCGGCAUCCUAACAUAUCCUAUUCAUCAAUUUAGAAUACUUUAUUGGAGCCUAAUGUACCACAAAAGUUACACACUGAGAACACAACAAAACCAAAGCCAUUUCAAGAUGAAUCAAGCUUGGAAUUAAACGUUGUAGUUUUGUAGUUGUUCUGUCAAUGGCAAUAGCAGGAGAUCCAUAUAUCAUCUCUGACUUUGUAGUCUCGGCAAAUAAUGGUACAGCAUUUGAUGCUAACUUCUUCACCAACACAGAUGGGAGGGUUCUUGUUGGAGCAACCUACACCAUUUCAGGUGUUACUUAAAAUCUAGCUUGGCUGAAGUCGUGUCAAUGGACAGAGUGUUUUUUGUGUGGUGUUAAAGUUCCCAGUGGGCUAUAUAUCAGCCUUCCUAGCAUGCAUUGAAGAUUGGCAGUACUACUGUUCCUCUUCAAUCCGCAUGAAGUAGGGUUCAUAAGCACGUGCGUUUAACGAGUUCUACCCUUAAGGAAUGCAAGGAGAUUGCAUGUUUGUGUCUCCCAAAGCGCUUGUAGUAUAAAACUUCGACGUAAUUGCAAUAUCAGCUUUAGUAGUGCAAAUGCUGAAACCGUUGUUGUUCCGAAUACUGUGUUCACACAUCACUACAGGCAUCAUUAUUCCUUUAAAAGUUUAAACUGAUGUUGACAGUACUAUCGAAAUCAAAGCAAUGAAGGCUGACCUAGCAACAAUAGCCUAAGGUACUGAUCCUUUUGUUCUGUAUCAUCAUUAUUCGCUUGCUUCUACAUAUUUAAACUCCAAGCAGGUGUCACUUCUAUUUCUAUCAAGCUUCUGAAGGAAAAAUUUCUUAAAUGACUAAGCGAGGAAUAUUUAAAGAAUGAAGAAUGCUCUUAUUGAUGAAAAGUACAUAACAGACUAGUCUGUUACAUUUACAAUACACGGAGAAAUACAAUACUUUAACACCUCCUUUCACUCUUUAUUAGUCUCUAUUACAUAGAAUACUGAAUUGGAAAAUGGGAUCUAUAAAGAGAAGAUAAAUAAAAAGAAUUCAAACAAAAAAAAAACAGGUGGGAUCAUAUUGUGAAAUUCAAAGGAACGUCAAUUUACUUAGGUGGUGCUAUACCAGCUUUGAUCUUCUGAAUGGUUUCUACAUCAGUUUUGAAAGCCUUAGCGAGGAUGGCAUCAUCAAUGCCUGUAGAAAACACCGACAGGGGUACUGAUACAGCCCCAGCAUUUGCACUACCAAACGCGGAGAUGGCAGUAGCUGCUACUGUUGGAUCGGCAUUGUAUUGAUAAUGUACGAGACCCUUGGGAAAAAUGAACAUGUCCCCUAGUUGGAGAGUUUGGUUAUACAAUUUGUUAGUGGUAUCUACCAAACCAACCUCGAGGCUGCCUUCCACAACAAACAGGAGUUCAGAAGAACGUGGGUGUGUGUGAGGUGGGUUGAGGCCACCUGCAGGGUAUUGUAGUACGGCAAAAGAAGUACUCUGACCAUUGAGAGCUGGAAAUUCAGCAAGGCUAGCUUUUGUCACCUUGAAGGUUGUUGAGGCCACAUCAAAUAUCCCACGCAUGCCUGUGUAGGUGAAGAAUGUGCCAUCAACAGCAUUAGAAUUUGCUGGGAAAAUGAAGUCUGAAGUUAUAUCUGGGUCACUUGCAUGGGCCAAAUAGGAGCUGGUCAAGGUCACCAAAAAAAGGAACAAGGUAGAUUUCAACAAAGCCAUUGGUUGUAUAUGAUAUAAGAUGAAGAAGAAGCUAUCUGAAAAGAGAUGGUGUUGGUUUGUAUUGGUUAUGUAGUUCUGGGCAUCUAUUUAUAACAAUCAGGGUUUGAGGAAGUGGAGGGUUGAUGAUUGUUUAUUACAGAUACUGUUAUAAAUUGUCAUCUACAUUAUGCCGAAGUUUACUAUGCUUGUUUUGUGUUGCAUUCUACUUCAAAUUAAUCCAUACAAAGUAAACAAGAAAGCAUAUUAUAGGUGUAUAUAAUCCAGCUUUCAUUCUUCACGCGUUUUGAAGAAUAAAAACAAAAGUUGAUUUAAUCGAGUUGAGAAUAUAUUUUUGGAAUAUGUUGACGAAGAACUGAUCGAAGGAUGCAGGCGUAUAGAUGACAACCUUGAUAACGCCUCAAGGUAUAGUACUACAACCUAAAAAGGGCAUUGUAAUUUCCAUUUUCACUGUCAGUAUUCAACCGGCCUGCACAAAGCAUAACAUAAUCAUAAUUUCUCCCUUCUAUUCUCUCCUUAUAUAAUACCUUAGUGGAGACUCAAGUACUACAUCAUAUUCACUGUUAAACACAUCAACACCAAAGUCUCAAUCCCAAGAUGGCUUUUAAGCUACAGGAUAUUGUCGUACUUGUACUAUUAUUCGGUGCUAUUGUACAAAUGGCGAUAGCAGGGGAUCCAAAUUAAUAUCCUCUCUGACUUCAUAGUCUCGCCAAAUAAUGCCACAGCAGUUGACGCUAACUUCUUCACCUUCACAGGCAUGAGGGUUCUUGUUGGAGCAGAUCCACCUCCAGCUUUUAAGGUGUUAAAGGCAAGCUUGGCUGAAUUUCCAUCUCUUAAUGGACAAAGUGUUUCUUAUGCCGUGCUAAUAUUCCCAGCAGGGGCUGUCAACCCUCCUCACACUCAUCCAAGGUCGGCAGAGCUACUGUUCCUCAUUCAAGGUUCUCUUGAAGUGGGUUUCGUUGACACGACUAACAAACUCUACACUCAAACUUUGCAAGAAGGAGACAUGUUUGUGUUUCCUAAAGGGCUUGCUCAUUACCAGUAUAAUGCAGAUGCUAAAGUCUCAGCUAUGGCAGUCUCAUCCUUUGGCAGUGCAAAUGCUGGAACCGUAUCUGUUCCUAAUACUGUGUUCACAACGGGCAUUGACGCAACCAUCUUAGCUAUGUCAUUUAAGACUGAUGUUGCCACUAUUCAAGCAAUUAAGGCUGGACUUGCAACCAAAGCCUAAUUACUAGAGUCCUGCUACUCUGUAUCUUCAGUAUUCCUCAUUUGAUUCUUUUAUUCAUUUAGUCGUGGCAAAUAAUCGAUUGUAUUUCAGUUUUUCUUCUUUGAUUUGUUUAGGCAUUUUAAUGAAUAAUUGAUUGUAAUGAAACAACUUUCGGUAUAUUUCUGAAUAUUAUUACUUAUUCAAAUAAUAUAUCCAUAGUUUACUGCAGAUGAAUGUAUAAUGUAGUUGGCAAGCCCCUUUAGAAAUAUUGAAAACCUAUUACCUAUAAACUAGAAACCAAAAUGAUCAGUACGUAUAGACCAUGAAAAGAAAAGAAUCAAGAAGUCUGAACUGUAAGAAAGAAAGAAAGCGUUGGUGGCUGGAAGGAAUGUCAUUUAUAAUAUAUGUGGCAGGCUUACAGAUGAUGUGAAUGUGUGAAUGUUCAAUCUGAUUUUGUCAGAGAUUUUUGAAAGAACUUGACAAGCGAACAAACUAAUCUAACACAAGUUGGUCGCAAACAUGCAAUCAGCCUAUGAUGUUCAGGUUGCAUUACACUCUAAGAUUAUAGUGUUAAGCCUAUGAUGUUCAAGUUUCAAUACUUUAACAUCAAGACGUAGUCGAUCCUCUUCUUACAUGAAAGUGAAAGCAGCAGAGUUGGCCAAGGAUACUUGUGAAGAUGUGGAGAGACUUAACACAAACUCCUUAUAGAUCACUGGACAUCAGAAUACAGAAAGUAGAAAUGGUCCAUAUGUUUGACAUGUUGUUGAAGACUUUCAGGUUUUAAGAAGCUUACCAUUCCUUGCUUAACAAGCAAGUAUCUACACCACACAAAAACUAUUUUACAGAGAUUUAAUAUAAUGCAUAAAAUUACAAGCUGCUGCAUGCAUGAUUUGAAAAAGCAGAAACUAAUGUAGCAUUUAAUGAGAAGUCAUACCUUGGCAUAUUGGGAGAUCAGAUAAGCAAAAUUCUCCUGCAACUAUAGGCCUAUAGCUAUAGUCUUUGGCUGCUUUGCAAUCAUUAUAUUCAAAUCAGCAUUAAACAGGAACUUAUUUCCGAGCUGCCCAGUGAUGACAAUGGUGCAAAAUUAGCAAAUUAGCAUACCUAAAAAAUAUUUUGUUUAAUAUAUUAUUAACGUGCAAAAAUAUAUUAUUAACGUAAUAUAUAUAUAUAUAUAUAUAUAUAUAUAUAUAUAUAUAUAUAUAUAUAUAUAUAUUUGUUUCCAUAAUACGCAUGAUUAAUUAUAUGGGUAAUAUUUUGAUAUCUUUGUUUUAGGAAAAUGAUUAUUUUCCAAACCACUAUAUAUAUAUGUACCUCUAAGAAUACUGAGUGUUUAGCAUUGAGAUUAGUUAUUUUACUGAGAAUUCAAUAGUUUUAAUUAAGUUUUAACACAUAGCAAAAAGAUGGCAUUGAAGUUGAGCAUUGUUGCUUUCCUUGUAUUGUUCCUUAUGGUUUCAGCAGGUUAGCAAAUAAUAUACUCCUUGACUUUUUAUUUUUUAAGUUAAUAUAAACCAUAAAACAAAGGGAGAAAUUCACAUCUUCCAUAUGGAUUAUAUUAUAUAUUUUUUUAUAAUUAUAUAUACUAGUUUGUGUUAUAUACAAGUAAACUAAUAUAAUUCUCGGUUUUUGAUUUCAGAGUACACAACUGCUGGUGUACCAUACAAUUGUUGUGUGGAUACUCAUGAACCAGGUUGUAUUCCUAACAACAGUGGUGCUGAAAAAAGCUGCUUUGAUAAAUGUUUGCAGACUUGCGGCAAAAUACACCCUGAAAACCAAAAAGGAGGGAUGUGCAAGGUGAUAAACAAAGAGCAUUUUUGCCAUUGCAAAUGUUAAGUUACUAAUUAAUAUCAAUAUUGGUUGGUUGUUUUUAGCUAGUUGCAAUGGUUGUUAUGAAAAAGGAACUUUUGUACGUUUGUUUCUGGACUUUUGUCUAUGGUCAUGGUUUUGUUUUUGUUUUUGUUUUAUUGGAAUAAAUCAUAAAUGGUGCUCUUACAGUCGUCUUACUGCAUGUAUGAUGUAGUAUUGCAUUUACAAUUGGAAUUACAAUUCAUCCAUUAAUUUUUCUUGUCAGAGUUAUUUAUUCAGAAAUCCACAAGAAAUAAAACCCAAGAAUGAAAGUCAUAUCUCCAAAGACUUACCUCUGCCAAAGAGCUAGCCAUAGAAACAUGUAUUGAGUAUUACGUACACACCUUUUACUAAAAGAAUAAACUCUGAAACUAUAUAUAUCAUGCAUGAAAGAAUCAAGCUAGCCAAUGAUUCACAUUUCAGAAGGUUGAAUCAAAAAGUUGAUCCCAAAAUGGUAAUAGUCCGGUAAAAUAUGAUCAAAAUUUCCACAGGUUGCAACUAUUAUUGGUAAACAAAGAAGGCAAAUUCCAAAGAACCCAUAAAAGCCAUGGACUAAAUUGCAAAUAUAUGCAAACGAAACUCUGAGGGACUACCUUCAUUUAUUCAUCUAUAGUUUACAUAAGAAAAACAUAAAUAACUUUUCAAUGCAAAAGCACACAGUACACUUAUAGGGCAAAGUACAGUUUCAUAAGGCAGUAUUCAUAUUAGAAGAGCAACAGUUUCAUAGUGCAGGUUUUGAUAUGAGCUUGAUUGGAAGACCAGUUGAUGGAUAUGGAAGUGGUUGACGUGCAAUCUUUUCGUUUGGAUUAACCUGAGACCAUUCGAACCUUGUUACCAAGUGAUGAACUAUGGUUAAAGUCUUCACCCUAGCAUAUUCAUUGCCUAUGCACUGAUGCAUUCCUGCUCCAAACGGAAUGUAAGUGCAGGGAGGAAUUGGCUUCUUUGCUUCGAAACGAGAUGGGUCAAAUGUGGUAGGAUCUUCAAAGAAGUUCUUGUCCAUGUGAGUUUCACAUGCUACCCAGAACACCUAUAACAUAAGAACAAAACAAUCAUCAAUAUCGUAUAGAAGCAAUACGCAGUAUGUCGUUGCUGAUAUUUAUAGUUGAACUGAAAAUAUACCUGCCACCCUUUGGGGAGAUCAAAGCCUGCAAAACUGGUAUCUGCAGUAGUGGUUCUAAAGUUUCCAAAUAGUGGGGGAAUGACUCUCAUCAACUCUUGUGCGACGCUCCAAGUAUACUUCAUCUUAUUUACUUCAACCCAUGUAAGUGUUUCAUCUCCUCCUUGCCUCUGAGCUAGGAUGCCCAAAUGCUCUAUAUUGAGAAACACAAUUGUUAGGUAAAACAAGAGCAACGCAACAAAGUUUUGGGUGCAACAGAUAGAUAUAGAGUGACCUGACUAUUACCUUCUCUAAUUUUGUCAUAGAUUUGCUUGUCUCUAGCCAACUUCCAGAUCAUCAUGCUAGAGAGAUUUGCUGCAGUAUCAUGACUGGCUAUCAUCAAGAAAAUGAAGUUAUCUAUAAUUUCCAAGUCUGAAAGAGGCACUACAUUUUCUCCUCCAAUUGACAAAAAACAUGCAAUGACAUCGUUUCUGGGGCUUAAAGUUCCAUUUGCGAGCUCUUCCUUUUUCUUCUUUAUAAUUGGCAAGAUCUUCUCAACAAUUCUUUUUCGUGCAGCUAAGCCUCGUGUAUAGUUUGUCCCAGGAAGAUUAAUGGGGAUUGACCAGAAGGCCUUAAAUGCAACUGCAAAAUCGCUCAUCAAGCCCUUUAUAAUCACUUCAUCGUCUACGCCAAAUAGUACACAACAAGCAACCUCGAAUGUCAAAUUUUUCAUGAACUGCACGGCUUGAACAACAUCUCUGUUUUUUGUUUCUCUGAGUAAGCUAGCCUUAAUCAAACGGUCCAUAUGUUUAACAUGGUGUUGAAGACUUUCAGCUUUUAAGAAGCUUACCAUGCCUUGCUUAACAAGCAGGUAUCUGCACCAUACAAGAAAAAGCCAUGAGCAACAAAAAAAAGCAUGGACCUUAUGAUUUACUUGUUGCAACUUUAGUAGAUUACAGGAUAUAGUCAUGGUAAUCCAAAUAAAAAACUUUGCAUUUUGCCUGGUUGUCAACUGUACUAUUGAUAAAUAAAAAAAAGCUUACCGUGGUUUUGGGAGAUCGGAUAAGCUGUAUUCUCCUGCAACAAUGGCAAGAGUCUUGGGAGGCUUUGCAGACAUGAUAUCAUAAUCAGCACCAAAUACAAACUUAUUGCCAGGCUGCCCAGUGAUUACAAAAGUAGGAGAACCCAUCAUAUGUGUCUUAAACACUGGACCAUGUUUCAAGACUCUUUCAUGUAUCCAUUCAUCACCGCGGUCUUGCAAUUGCGCUCGAAGAAAACUUAUCGAUUCUCCAAUUAGUGGAAAACCCAAAGAUCCACCAGGCAGAUUAUAUCCUCUGUAAUCCUUCUUGAAAAGAAGGUAAAGGAACAAAGAUGAAGCAAUGGUAAUUGCAACCAACACAACAGGUGACAUACUCAAGAAUGAUUCUAGUAAUGUGUUCACCAUUGUUGAUCUUUUUAGCAAUGGCUAUAACAAGUGUUAUACAACUUUUUCUUGCUGGAACAAGAGUGUUAUACAACUUGAUGUGGUUUUACAUACCCUCACUUCAUCUAUAUAUGUAUGGUAUGAUAAAGCACACCAAUUAUGAUCAAAAUUAAAUAAAUAUAUUGAAGAACCAUGUUAGUCAAUAAUUUUUUUAAAAUAAUAACAUAAAAAUAUCCUAUGCGAUCCAUCUGGAAUGAUACUUCAGUCUUUGAUAAUAUUUUUCAAGUUGUGGUUCUUGGCUUCUUGCUUCAAAGUUAGUACUUCAGUCUUUGUUGUAUUUUGUUGACUUGAUCUUCAAAGUUCAAAGAAUGUUGGUGUGUUGGACGGCUUAAACUGACCAUUGAUGACCCAAUUCAUGGUUUUUUUUUGCUGUUCAAUUAAUGGCCCAAACUCUAAGAAUGCCCAACAAAUCCACAUGUUAGAAUUCAUCAAUAAGCCCACGAUUAUGUUUCUUACGUCAGUUGGUACAAAGCCAUUGUCAUGUGGACUUAGGCAAAAAAAAAAAAAAAAAAGCCAUAUACACACAUGUAGCACACAUGAAAAGGAAAAACAAAUUAGGUGAGAUAUGAAGGAGGAAACAUUAACAUGUAUACAGUGGUGUGCGCAGCGGAAACAAGUGUAUGAUUGAACUAGUGUAUGAAAUAAACAAAAAAACGACAAAAUCAAAACAAGCAACCACACAAGACACAAGAUAUAUGUGGUUCGACAAUAUGCCUAUAUCUACGGGGAGAAAGGAUGAUGCUUUUCUUAUCGAGACAAUUGUACAAGCCCUCACAAAGAAAACCGAAGUCUUCUUCCUCACAAAAGUUCUCCAACUCUCUAAUGGCUUCUCACAAUCUCUCUCUUAAAAAACUUAGGAUUUUUUUUCACUUCUAUUUGGCUUUAUAACAUAGUCUUACAAUAGACCACGAAUUGGGCUUAAAUAGGCCCAUAUAGCAAAAAACACAGGAGGACGUACGUACGUCGAAAUCACGUUUGUACGUCGAACCACGGAGAAGUUAUCUGGCGUACAGGACGUACGUACACCCUAACUACGUACGUACCUGAACAAGUAAUACAACGUUCGUACGUCGAAUCGAUAUUCGUACGUUUCUUUCCACUUCUAUUUUCUGUGAUGCUGAACGUACGAACGCCUUAACUGCGUACGUACGUUCCUGAACAAAAACUUCCCUCCGUCCUGAUUUCACCUGAAAAACCCAACAUACAGUUCUUUUGCCACUUCUCAACUAUGUAAAUUUAAGAGAGAUUAUCCGUGGAAAAAGAAGAAGAUGCAACACCAGUUGGAGUCACUUUUUUUUUUUUGAUCAAUGUAACAACAUAUUUAACACCAAGAAGAUUUACAAGCCUGAUCAGCACAUACAGAGAACUGUAUAUCGUCAAGUGGAGUCACUUAGCUAGUAGAAGGAGAAGACAGGAUGGAUUUACAAUUGGGUGAAGGAAAUGAAGUUAUUUGAUGACUCCAAGAUUGACGUUAAAGGGCUUGUCGACUCAGGCCUCACAACCAUAAUCCCCAGAUUUUUGUACACAACCACACUCCAGAGCCUGAGUGAUCUCAAAACAUGUUCAGAGUUCAUUGAAAUUCUUGUAGUCAAUCUCCUACAUGUCAACUCUCACAGAAGACCAGAGAUUAUUGAUCAUGUCAUAUAAGCCUCGUGCAUGGGUUUUUUUUUUUUUUACUUUGCUAUAUCUGCUGUUAAAUUAAGAAACCCUAACUGUGAAUACGGACAUAUGCCUCAAGCUAUGGAAAAAAUCCUGGCUUGAUCAGCAACUGAAUGUGGAGAUCCUGACUACCAUUACCACAAGGUGAACAAAUGAGGCAACAGCCAAAUCCACAUUUAAUAAACAAAAGGUGGCAUGCAGGAGUCCUCAUUAUUAAGGCAUUCAUAUGAUGAUAAACCUACUCAUUGGAAUUCAAAUUGCUUAAACAAGUAUAUUAGGAAUACUAAAGUAAGCAUUUAAGCACAAACAAAAGCACUCAUGGUGCAAGACAUAUGUCUGUUCUACCAAUAAAAAAUAAAUAGAAAAUUGCAAUAAGGUGAGACCAUGGGAACCAGCCGUGAAAGAAGGUGCAAAGAGCAAAAGAAGAAAGAGAGGUGGAGGUGGAGGUGGAGGUGGAGGUGGAGGUGGUGGUGGAGGUGAAGCAGAGAGGUGGAGGCAAGACAGCGGAAAAAAAACUCCCAUCAGUGGGUCCAACAUAAAACACCUGAGCUCACUUGAUUUUCUUUUUAGGCCUCAACUGAAAUGCAAACAAAUA
Molecule: long non-coding RNA, 50957 nt
Filed under: Aquilegia coerulea
Lineage: Eukaryota; Viridiplantae; Streptophyta; Magnoliopsida; Ranunculales; Ranunculaceae
Description: long non-coding RNA (ACOE_LNC000317)
Source: RNAcentral